UUUUUUUUUGUUCCAUGCUAUUAUAUUAUCUGUUUUGGAUGUUUAUGGGCUUUAUUAAACACUUUUAUAUUAUUUUUGGGACUAACCUAUUAACCCAGAGCCCAGUGCCACUUUCUGUUUUUCCCUUGUUUCAGUGUUUCGCAGAAAAGGAAUAUCAAACGGAGUCCAAACGGAGUGAAACCUUCAGGAGAGUUAUUUUUGGAACGGAAGCAAUCCAGAAGACUUGGAGUGUAUGUAAGGGAAGCAACGAGGAAGGCACGAGGCAGGGGGUGCGCCCACCCCCCUGGGCGCGCCCUCCACCCUCGUGGGGCCCUCGUGGCUCCCCUGACCGACUUCUUUCGCCUAUAUAUAUGGAUAUACCCUAAAACCAUCGGGGAACAGAAUAGAUCGGGAGUUCCGCUGCCGCAAGCCUCUGUAGCCACCAAAAACCAAUCAGGACCCUGUUUCGGCACCCUGCCGGAGGGGGGAACCCUCACCGGUGGCCAUCUUCAUCAUCCCGGUGCUCUCCAUGACGAGGAGGGAGUAGUUCACCCUCGGGGCUGAGGGUAUGUACCAGUAGCUAUGUGUUUGAUCUCUCUCUCUCUCUCUCGUGUUCUUGAGGUGAUAUGAUGUUGAUGUAUCAUGAGCUUUGCUAUUAUAGUUGGAUCUUAUGAUGUUUCUCCCCCUCUACUCUCUUGUAAUGGAUUGAGUUUUCCCUUUGAAGUUAUCUUAUUGGAUUGAGUCUUUAAGGAUUUGAGAACACUUGAUGUAUGUCUUGCGUGGGAUACCCGUGGUGACAAUGGGGUAUUCUAUUGAUCCACUUGAUGUAUGUUUUGGUGAUCAACUUGCGGGUUCCGCCCAUGAACCUAUGCAUAGGGGUUGGCACACGUUUUCGUCUUGACUCUCCGGUAGAAACUUUGGGGCACUCUUUGAAGUUCUUUGUGUUGGUUUGAAUAGAUGAAUCAGAGAUUGUGUGAUGCAUAUUGUAUAAUCAUACCCACGGAUACUUGAGGUGACAUUGCAGUAUCUAGGUGACAUUAGGGUUUUGGUUGAUUUGUUUCUUACGGUGUUAUUUUAGUACGAACUCUAUGAUAGAUCGAAUGGAAAGAAUAGCUUCGUGUUAUUUUACUACGGACUCUUGAAUAGAUCGAUCCGAAAGAAUAACUUUGAGGUGGUUUCGUACCCUACCAUAAUCUCUUCGUUUGUUCUCCGCUAUUAGUGACUUUGGAGUGACUCUUUGUUGCAUGUUGAGGGAUAGUUAUAUGAUCCAAUUAUGUUAUUAUUGUUGAGAGAACUUGCACUAGUGGAAGUAUGAACCCUAGGCCUUGUUUCCUAGCAUUGCAAUACCGUUUACGCUCACUUUUAUUGCUUGUUACCUUGCUGUUUUUAUAUUUUCAGAUUACAAAAUCCUAUAUCUACCAUCUAUAUUGCACUUGUAUCACCAUCUCUUCGCCGAACUAGUGCACCUAUACAAUUUACCAUUGUAUUGGGUGUGUUGGGGACACAAGAGACUCUUUGUUAUUUGGUUGCAGGGUUUCUUGAGAGAGACCAUAUUCAUCCUACACCUCCCACGGAUUGAUAAACCUUAGGUCAUCCACUUGAGGGAAAUUUUCGACUGUCCUACAAACCUCUGCACUUGGAGGCCCAACAACGGCUACAAGAAGAAGGUUGUCUAGUAGACAUCAAGCUCUUUUCUGGCGCUGUUGCCGGGGAGGUGAGUGCUUGAAGGUAUAUCUUUAGAUCUCGCAAUCGAAUCUUUUUAUUUCUUAUUUUAGCACUAGUUUAGUUUAUAAAAGAAAACUACAAAAAAAUGGAAUUAAGGGUGCCUCAUAUGCUUCAUCUUUUUAAUUUUUUUGUGAAAAUGAUGGGAAGGAAAAUUGUGCUCAAGUACUAGAAGAAGAAUUACAUAGAAUGCUUGGCAUAAAAUAUGUGAAUGAUGAGCAUGACUGCAAUGUUGUUAGUAUGAAUUCUUUGAAUACCCAUGAUGCGAAGGGUGACGGGGAUUGUUCGUAGGGCAGUGGGCGGCAUAUGGCUUUGAUUAGCGAAAAGCUGGCAUCCAACGCAGCGCUGUAUGAGGUCAUGUGUAUCUACUCGGGCCGUGGGCCAAAAUAAACACGUAUGGAAGGCCUUGCUUACAAGGGCCCGAGCUGCGGGGUGAUGGCCGCCAAGACCAGCGUGUAUUUCAGCCAAGAGUUGUUGUCCCUCUUCUUCGGAGAUGCAUCUUUGAAGGACUCUGGUAGUACUUUUCUUGUACAGUUCUCCUUCAUGAACCUUGUAGGCCUUCGAGCGACGAACGAUACAACAGGCCUUAAUAUGAUCCUCGGGGAGCUCAUUCCUAGUCAGGUAGGCAAGGAAAGGCUCAGUCCAUGGGGCAAUUACAGCCAUGAUUUCAUGGGCCGAUGGUGUUAUUUCGGUGCCCGAGCCCCCGAUGAUAUCAGAACUGUGUUCGGAAUCUGGGGGUAUGAUCGGCUCCGGACUAGUGUUGCCGCUCUCGUCCUGCCACACCACGGAUGGCUUGAAGAGCCUUUCCACAAAGGUGUUGGGUGGGACGGGGUCGCGUUUAGCGCCCAUGCAAGCAAGGAUGUCUGCGGCUUGAUUACUCUCUCGAGCCACGUGAUGAAACUCGAGCCCCUCAAACCGAGAUGAUAUUUUGAGUACGGCAUUGCGGUAAGCCGCCAUCUUCGGGUCUUUUGCGUCGAAUCUCCGUUUAUUUGGGAUAUUGCAAGGUUUGAAUCCCCGCGCACCUCAAGGUGUUGUAUGCCCAUGGAGACAGCCAUCCGGAGACCAUGCAACAGGGCCUCGUAUUCGGCUGCAUUGUUAGAGUCUGUAUACAGUAUUUGGAGCACAUAACGGACUGUAUCUCCUGUGGGGGAUGUCAAAAGGACACCAGCCCCAAGUCCGGCUAGCAUUUUGGAGCCAUCGAAGUGCAUCACCCAGUUGGAAUACGUGUCGUACUCUUUAGGGAGUUCGGCCUCUGUCCAUUCGGCGACGAAGUCAGCCAACACCUGAGAUUUAAUGGCUCAGCGUGGUUUGUACGUUAUUUCAAAUGGUAAGAGCUCAAUGGCCCAUUUGGCAAUCCGACUGGUGGCGUCCCAGUUGUUUAUAAUAUCAUUGAGUGGUACUUCUGAGGCCACCGUACUUGAGCAUUCUUGAAAGUAGUGUUGCAGUUUGCGGGAUGUCAUAAAGACCGCAUAUGCUAUCUUCUGAUAAUGCGGGUAUCGGGAUUUGCAUGGUGUAAGGACCGUCGAUACGUAGUAUACUGGUUUUUGGAGUGGGAACUUAUGCCCCUCUUCCUCUUGUUCAACGACGAGCACCGCACUCACCACCUGGUGGGUUGCAGAUAUGUAGAGCAACAUUGGUUUGCCGACGUUUGGUGCGGCCAGGAUGGGGUUGCUUGCUAGCAAAGUUUUUAUUUCCUCCAGUCCGGCUAUUGCAGCGUCCGUCCAUGCAAAGUGGUCGGCGCGUCGGAGCAGGCGGUACAAUGGCAAUGCCUUUUCUCCUAGUCUAGAGAUAAAGCGGCUCAAAGCUGCCACGCACCCAACUAGUUUUUGGACCUGCUCGAGGUCAGUUGGUGUUGCCAAUUGUGACAGGGCUCGGAUUUUGGCUGGGUUUGCUUCAAUUCCUCUAUUGGAGACAAUAAACCCGAGCAGUUUGCCAGCGAGAACGCCGAAAACCCACUUUUCUGGAUUGAGCCUUAUGUCAUAUGUUCGAAGGUUGUUGAAUGUAAGGCGUAAGUCAUCCACCAAUGAUUCAGCAUGCUUGGUUUUGAUGACUACGUCAUCUACAUAUGCCUCCACAGUCUUGCCAAUUUGCUUUUCCAGGCAUGUUUGAAUCAUGCGUUGGUAAGUGGCGCCGGCGUUCUUGAGCCCGAAAGGCAUAGUGUUGAAGCAGAAAGGCCCAUACGGGGUGAUGAAUGCCGUUGCGGCUUGGUCGGAUUCCUUCAUCUUAAUUUGAUGGUAUCUGGAGUAUGCGUCGAGGAAACACAGUGAAUCGUGUCCCGCAGUUGCAUCAAUAAUCUGGUCGAUGCGAGGUAGUGGGAAGGGGUCCUUAGGGCAGGCCUAGUUAAGGUCUUCGAAAUCAACACACAGGCGCCAGGAUUUAUCCUUCUUUGGUACCAUGACCAGGUUUGCUAGCUCCUCCCCCAUAGCCUGUCGUUUGGGUUUGGAAAAUCGCCGGAGCGUUUGCUUGAAUGGCUUGUAUCCCUUCAGUAUAUUGAGACUAUGUUCGGCCAGCGCACGUGGGAUUCCUGGCAUAUCCGAGGGGUUCCAGGCGAAGAUGUCCCAGUUCUCGCACAAGAACGCGCGUAAUGCGGCUUCGACCGUCGGGUCCAGUUGUGCCCCAAUGGAAGCUGUUUUCUUAGGAUCCGUCGGGUGGACUUGAAAUUUAACUAUUUCGUCAGCUGGCUUGAAAGAGGUGGAUUUAGGACUUUUGUCAAGAAUUACGUCGUCCCUCUCCACUGUGGAACGCAGAGCGGUGAGUUCCUCAACUUCUAGGGCUUCGGACAAUGCCUCAAGGGCCAGGGAUGUGGUUUUAUUUUUGGUGCAGAGUGCUAUGUACGGAUCACUGGAGAUAGUGAUAACACCAUUGGGCCCGGGCAUUUUGAGCUUCAUAUACCCAUAAUGAGGUAUAGCUUGAAAGCGUGUGAAUGCAUCUCGCCCUAACAGAGCAUGAUAUCCGCUGUUGAAAGGAGCCACCUGGAAGAUUAUCUCUUCGGACCUAUAGUUUUCUGGUGUGCCGAAUACCACAUCCAGUUUAAUUUCCCCUGAGCAUCUCGCUUCCCUGCUGGGAAUGAUUCCCCUAAAGGAUGUAUUGCUCUGCUCAAUGCAACUCCUGUCCAUUUGAAUUUUAUUGAGCAUGUCCUCAAAGAUGAGGUUUAGUCCGCUGCCACCGUCCAUUAACACUUUAGUGAGCCGAAAGCCGUCCAUGAUUGGGUUUAGGACCAAACCGGCUGGUGCCCGGACUGAGCGGGACCUUGGUUCAUCAUCGGCAUUGAAAUUAAUCGCCGUAUCGUUCCAAGGGUUUAUUGUAGUUAUUUGGCAGACUUCGGCGAGGUCACGGAGCGCCCUUUUGCGCCGAUUAUUUGAUGAGAAGGUCUCGAAGACCGUGAAUACUUUGAAAUCGUCGUCCUCCGAAGAGUACUUCUCUGGGGUAGUGUUGGUGAGGAUACCCUUGCCGCUCUUGGCCACCUGCCGGAGUAUCCAACAUGCCCGUAGGCUGUGCGUUGGUUUGGUAUUCGGCGUCAUGUGUAUUUGACAGGGCCUAUCGAGCCAUUCCUCGAAGACAAUUCUAUGUCCCGUAAAGGGCUUGAUUUUCUUGUCCACGGGAUGAUGAUCAGGUGCCCCGCGAGGGCGCAUCCUUUUUGCCCGCCCGGGAGAUGGCUUAAAGGCCUGCGGUUCCCAGCAGGCUAUUGAUAACCCACAAGUAUAGGGGAUCGCAACAGUUUUCGACGGUAGAGUAUUCAACCCAAAUUUAUUGAUUCGACACAAGGGGAGCCAAAGAAUAUUCUCAAGUAUUAGCAGUUGAGUUGUCAAUUCAACCACACCUGGAUAACUUAGUAUCUGCAGCAAAGUAUUUAGUAGCAAAGUAAUAUGGAAGUAACGGUAACGGUAGCAAAAGUAAUAUUUUUGGGUUUUGUAAUGAUUGUAACAGUAGCAACGGAAAAGUAAAUAAGCGAAGAACAAUAUGUGAAAAGUUCGUAGGCAUUGGAUCGGUGAUGGAGAAUUAUGCCGGAUGCGGUUCAUCAUGUAACAAUCAUAACACAGGGUGACACAGAACUAGCUCCAAUUCGUCAAUGUAAUGUAGGCAUGUAUUCCGAAUAUAGUCAUACAUGCUUAUGGAAAAGAACUUGCAUCACAUCUUUUGUCCUACCCUCCCAUAGUGGCGGGGUCCUAACAAAAACUAAGGGAUAUUAAGGCCUCCUUUUAAUAGAGUACCGGACCAAAGCAUUAACACAUAGUGAAUACAUGAACUCCUCAAACUACGGUCAUCACCGGGAGUGGUCCCGAUUAUUGUCACUUCGGGGUUGCCGGAUCAUAACACAUAGUAGGUAACUAUAGACUUGCAAGAUAGGAUCAACAACUCACAUAUAUUCAUGAAAACAUAAUAGGUUCAGAUCUGAAAUCAUGGCACUCGGGCCCUAGUGACAAGCAUUAAGCAUAGCAAAGUCAUAGCAACAUCAAUCUUAGAACAUAGUGGAUACUAGGGAUCAAACCCUAACAAAUCUAACUCGAUUACAUGAUAAAUCUCAUCCAACCCAUCACCGUCCAGCAAGCCUACGAUGGAAUUACUCACGCACGGCGGUGAGCAUCAUGAAAUUGGUGAUGGAGGAUGGUUGAUGAUGACGAUGGCGACGGAUUCCCCUGUCCGGAGCCCCGAACGGACUCCAGAUCAGCCCUCCCGAGAGAGUUUAGGGCUUGGCAGCGGCUCCGUAUCGUAAAAUGCGAUGAAUCUUUCCCUCUGAUUUUUUUCUCCCCGAACACGAAUAUAUAGAGUUGGAGUUGAGGUCGUGUCACGCCCAAUAUGCGACCCUAUCCUAAAGGAACACGAAGGUCCCACCAAGGAUUGAAGCGCAUCUUGAAGACGCUUUUGCAAGGUGGAUAUCAUUACAUCAACAUUACAUAAUAUUUGGGAAUACAUACAAGGCAUACAAAUGCCGCAAGAAUACAUCAAUACAUCAUACAUAAGCUCAACAUCCGACUAUGGAUGAAACAUAAACAGAAACUCGAACGACAUCCACCCUGCUAGCCCAGGCUGCCGACCUGGAACCUAUCCCCUGAUCGAAGAAGAAGCAGAAGAAGAACUCCAAAACAGGUAAACAUCGCUCUCGCGUCAUGAUCAUCGCAUAACCUGUACCUGCAACUGGUGUUGUAGUAAUCUGUGAGCCACGAGGACUCAGCGAUCCCAUUACCAUGGGUAUCAAGACUAGCAAAGCUUAAAGGGAAAGGAAUGGAUAAGGUGGUGAGGUUGCAGCAGCGACUAAGCAUGUAUGGUGGCUAACUUACGCAAACAAGAGCGAGAAGAGAAGCAAUGGAACGGUCGUCAACUAGUAAUGAUCAAGAAGUGAUCCUGAACUCCUACUUAUGUCAAACAUAACCCAGAAACCGUGUUCACUUCCCGGACUCCGCCGAGAAGAGACCAUCACGGCUACACACGCGGUUGAUGCGUUUUAAUUAAGGUCCAGUGUCAAGUUCUCUACAACCGGAUAUUAACAAAUUCCCAUCUGCCACAUAACCGCGGGCACGGCUUUCGAAAGAUAAUACCCUGAAGGGGUGUCCCAACUUAGCCCAUUAUAAGCUCUCACGGUCAACGAAGGAUAUUCCUUCUCCCGGGAAGACCCGAUCAGUCUCGGAAUCCCGGUUACAAGACAUUUCGACGAUGGUAAAACAAAACCAGCAAAGCCGCCCGAAUGUGCCGACAAAUCCCGAUAGGAGCUGCACAUAUCUCGUUCUCAGGGCACACCGGAUUGUCCAAGCUUCCGGUAGGCCAGACCAGAGUUGCCCAUGGUGGCCACUGGCGACUGACAGGUUGGACCAACACUCGAAGGAGCACUGGCCCGGGGGGUAAAUAAAGAUGACCCUCGAGAGCGCGACUGACAAGGGAAAAAGGCUAGGUGAGGCAAAUGUAAAACCAAGGUUGGGCCUUGCUGGAAGAGUUUUAUUCAAAGCGAACUGUCAAGGGGGUCCCAUAAAUCACCCAACCACGUGAGGGACGCAAAAUCAAGGAACAUAACACCGGUAUGACGGAAACUAGGGCGGCAAGAGUGGAACAAAACACCAGGCAUAAGGCCGAGCCUUCCACCCUUUACCAAGUAUAUAGAUGCAUUAAUAAUAUAAGAGAUAUUGUGAUAGCCCAACAUAAACAUAAUCUAAAAUGGAGCAAUCUUCAUCUUCACCUGCAGCUAGCAACGCUGUAAGAGGGGCUGAGCAAAGCGGUAACAUAGCCAAACAACGGUUUUCUAAGAAGGGUGACAAAGGUUAGAGGUUCAUGGCAAUUGGGAGGCUUGAAGAGCAAGUGAUAGGUAGCGCAGCAUAGCGAUAGAACGAAGCAACUAGCAUAGCAAUGAUAGUAAUGAGAUCCAAGGUGACGGUCAUCUUGCAUGAAAUCCUGCUGGGAAGAAGAACGAAUCCAUGAAGAAGAUGAAGCCACGAAGACGAACGAAUCCUCACGAUCGCAACGACACGGGAACUAUCGAGAAGAAGCACACAACAAGGUAAACACACCACACAUGAACAAGGCAUGAUGCUCAACCAAGUAUGAUGCAUGGCAAGGCUAUAUGAAGCUACACACGGCAAGAGAUGAUGCAUACAAGAACAACACAUCAAGGCAAGUUUAAAUGAGGCCGGAAACAACAUAUACCAAUUCCGGUAAGUCCUCAUAUGCAAAUUUCGAAAUUGGUCCAGAACUGAACAAACAUUAAGUUGAAGUUGUUAAACAGCAAGUUAAAGAGCACCAUGAUGAUCUACACGAAAUUCUAGUCAAGUUACAUAUAAAGUUCAUUAGAUUCGGAGCUACGGCCUAGAAGAUAAGAGCAAAACAAGUUAAACAUGGCAUUGAUGCAAAAUGCAUUCAAACAUCAAGCAAACACCUCAAAACAAGGAUGCAACAUGAUAAUAUGAAACUACAUGCAAAACUAAGCAAAUUUCAUAUAGAGCAUGCUCGAAACGGAGCAACGGUGCAACACAUACACUCCAAACAAGACAUAGCAACAAUCUGUCCAAAACAGCAACUAGGCAUAAUGCAAACAUCAAAACAAUAUGCUACAGCAACUCAUCAUGAAAACAAAAGGCAUGGGCAUGAUGUACAGGUAAGGCACAACAAAACAUGAACAGUGAGCUAUCUCCAGAAAUCACUAGAACAUACUCAAAAGGACAUGUCAAGAUUGCAAAUAAUAACAGGUUCACAGACUGCAGAAUUACUGGACAUGGCAGAAAUAACAUCAGGUUGCUAUGUUUAGAGCUAUCAAGCAACAAGCUUCAGGAACAGAUCAUAGCAAACAAAGGCAUGGCAUGAAUCUACUCAAAGCAUAUAACAAAUGUCCCUUAGUGAACAUGAGACAAAAAAGCACAGAAUAUAUGAUGGCACCCAUGUAAACAUAGCAAGUUUCGUUAUCAGGUUCCAGACUUGGCAGAAAACAGAGCAUGGCAGAAACAGACAUUAUGAAGGCAUCUUUGAGAGCUUGAUGCACUCAUCACAAAGCAAUGCAUGACAAAACAAGCAUACCUACAGGAAGAUGGUAUGUUUAUAAAGAUAUCCAUGGCAAGAGCAAAUACAUAGCAUGUAUGAAACAACUACAACAAGCUUGGCAAAAUUGAAUAACACGUAAACAAUCUGCCAGGAACAUUUUAUAGCAAAAGUAGAGCAAGAUUGAGUCAUGCUAUGGCACUCCAUAAUUGCAAACAAGGACAUGGAUGGAUCAAUUACAACAAUAUCUACAAAAUAUCCUUACUGAACAUCUCCAAAAUAAGUAUGGAUCUCUCUGUAGACACAUGUAUACAAGGCAACAAAAUAACAGCAGUCGCCGACGGUAAAAUUUUAAGUCUCAGAAAUCAGAAACAUCACGAAGCCUAGUUUGCAUGCUUGUGCUAGUCACCACAGAGAUCACACAAAUACAUGACAUACACCUCUGUAAAGAUAGCAUGGCAUACAACAAAACACAUGUAGAGCUCAUACUCAUAAGAUGCACAGAUUAAAUGCAACAAAAAUAACAAUUCACCAAGUUCUGAUAAGUAACAGCAGAUAACAGCAACUAGCACUCUUGCAAUGAUGAUUUGGGCAUCAAGAUGGACUCAAAUGAACAUGGCACAAUGGAAUGAAAUGAAGAGCAUCAUGAGAAGAACAAUUAGAUAUAUUGCACGCACGAAACGGAGUAGCAUGCAUGGAGUUAUGGCAUGACAAAGUGGGCACUAGAAUGUAAAAUUCCCAGGACAGAAGAAUUUGAGGGGGGAAGUCAACCUGCGGGAUCAGAUCUGGGCGCGAGAACCGAGGCGGGGCCGGCUCGCCGGAGACGAAGCGGCGGCAGCCGGAGCGGAGAGGGGGCGAUGGCCGGCGGGCGGGAUCCGGAGGCGGGCGCGGGAUCCGCGGCCGGCGGCGGACGGCGCGGCGGGAUCCGGGCGGAUCCGGGGAGCNNNNNNNNNNNNNNNNNNNNNNNNNNNNNNNNNNNNNNNNNNNNNNNNNNNNNNNNNNNNNNNNNNNNNNNNNNNNNNNNNNNNNNNNNNNNNNNNNNNNNNNNNNNNNNNNNNNNNNNNNNNNNNNNNNNNNNNNNNNNNNNNNNNNNNNNNNNNNNNNNNNNNNNNNNNNNNNNNNNNNNNNNNNNNNNNNNNNNNNNNNNNNNNNNNNNNNNNNNNNNNNNNNNNNNNNNNNNNNNNNNNNNNNNNNNNNNNNNNNNNNNNNNNNNNNNNNNNNNNNNNNNNNNNNNNNNNNNNNNNNNNNNNNNNNNNNNNNNNNNNNNNNNNNNNNNNNNNNNNNNNNNNNNNNNNNNNNNNNNNNNNNNNNNNNNNNNNNNNNNNNNNNNNNNNNNNNNNNNNNNNNNNNNNNNNNNNNNNNNNNNNNNNNNNNNNNNNNNNNNNNNNNNNNNNNNNNNNNNNNNNNNNNNNNNNNNNNNNNNNNNNNNNNNNNNNNNNNNNNNNNNNNNNNNNNNNNNNNNNNNNNNNNNNNNNNNNNNCCCGCGGCGGCGCUUGCCACGCGGCGGCUCCUGAUUAGCGCGGGGGCGGCGGCUAAGGGCGGCGGACAUGUCCGGGCGGCGGGGAUUUCGUCCGGUGGCGCGAGGAGGGGGAAGGCUAGGGUUUAGACUGCAAAAAAAAGGGAGGGGGGUGUUUAUAUAGGUAGAUGGAGCUAGGAGAGUCCAAAUGAGGUGCGGUUUUCGCCCACACGAUCGUGAUCGAACGACCGAGAUAAUGGAGGGGGUUUUGCUGGGUUAUUGGGCCACUUUGGAGGGGUGUUGGGCUGCACACAAAAGAGGCCUUUGCGGUUCCCCGGUUAACCGUUGGAGUAUCAAACGACCUCCAAAUGGCACGAAACUUGACAGGCGGUCUACCGAUGGUGUAACAAGGCCGCUUGGCAAACCUCGGGCCAUUCUGAGAAAGUUUAACACCCACACAUGAAAAGAGGCAAAAGGGGCGCCGGAGGACAUAGGAGUGCCGGAUUACAAAACGGACAACGGGGAAAAUACUCGGAUGCAUGAGACGAACACGAAUGCAAAUGCGAUGCACAUGAUGACAUGAUAUGAAAUGCAGAUGAUGACAUGGCAAAGUGCGACACGCAAGCAAAUGACAAGGCAGGGACGGCGAAUAACUGGCAGACACCUGGCGCAUCGGAUCUGGGGCGUUACAGGUCGGUGGAGCUCCAAGGGGCCCACGAGGUAAGGGGCGCGCCCCCCACCCUCGUGGAAAGGGUGUGGGCCCCCUGGCCUUGAUUCUUUCACCGUUAUUUUUUAUUAUUUCCAAAAAUAAUCUCCGUGAAGUUUCAGGUCAUUCCGAGAACUUUUGUUUCUGCACAAAAAUAACACCAUGGCAAUUCUGCUGAAAACAGCGUCAGUCCAGGUUAGUUCCAUUCAAAUCAUGCAAGUUAGAGUCCAAAACAAGGGCAAAAGUGUUUGGAAAAGUAGAUACGACGGACACGUAUCAACUCCCCCAAGCUUAAACCUUUGCUUGUCCUCAAGCAAUUCAGUUGAUAAACUGAAAGUGAUAAAGAAAAACUUUUACAAACUCUGUUUGCUCUUGUUGUUGUAAAUAUGUAAAGCCAUUAUUCAAGUUUUCAGCAAAGAUUAUGACUAACCAUAUUCACAAUAACAUUUAGGUCUCAUGUUUACUCAUGUCAAUGGCAUAAUCAACUAGCGAGCAAUAAUAAUAAAUCUCGGAUGAGAACACUUUCUCAAAACAAUCAUGAUAUGAUAUAACAAGAUGGUAUCUCGCUAGCCCUUUCUGAGACCGCAAAACAUAAAUCCAGAGCACCUUUGAAGAUCAAGGACUGACUAAACAUUGUAAUUCAUGGUAAAACAGAUCCAGUCAUAGUCAUACCCAAUAUAAAUUAAUAGUAAUGGAUGCAAAUGACAGUGGUGCUCUCCAGCUGGUGCUUUUUAAUAAGAGGGUGAUGACUCAACAUAAAAGUAAAUAGAUAGGCCCUUCGCAGAGGGAAGCAGGGAUUUGUAGAGGUGCCAGAGCUCGAUUUUGAAAUAGAGAUAAAUAAUAUUUUGAGCGGUAUACUUUCAUUGUCAACAUAACAACCGAGAGAUGGCGAUAUCUUUCAUGCUACACACAUUAUAGGCGGUUCCCAAACAGAAUGGUAAAGAUUAUACUCCCCCUCCACCAACAAGCAUCAAUCCAUGGCUUGCUCAAAACAACGAGUGCCUCCAACUAACAAGAGUCUCGGGGGAGUUUUGUUUGCAAUUAUUUUGAUUUGAUUUGCAUAAAGCAUGGGACUGGGCAUCCCGGUGACCAGCCAUUUUCUCGUGAGUGAGGAGCGGAGUCCACUCCACUUGAGAAUAACCCGCCUAGCAUGGAAGAUAUAGACAGCCCUAGUUGAUACAUGAGCUAUUUGAGCAUACAAAACAGAAUUUCAUUUGAAGGUUUAGAGUUUGGCACAUACAAAUUUACUUGGAACGGCAGGUAGAUACCGCAUAUAGGAAGGUAUGGUGGAAUCAUAUGGAAUAACUUUGGGGUUUAUGGGAGUGGAUGCACAAGCAGUAUUCCCGCUUAGUACAAGUGAAGGCUAGCAAAAGACUGGGAAGCGACCAACUAGAGAGCGACAACAGUCAUAAAGAUGCAUUAAAAUUAAUGAACAUUGAGUGCAAGUAUGAGCAGGAUAUAAUCCACCAUGAACAUAAGUAACAUGGAGGCUAUGUUGAUUUUGUUCCAACUACAUGCGUGAACAUGUGCCAAGUCAAGUCACUUGAAUCAUUCAAAGGAGGAUAUCACCCUAUCAUACCACAUCACAACCAUUAUAAUAGCAUGUUGGCACGCAAGAUAAACCAUUAUAAACUCCUAGCUAAUUAAGCAUGGCAUAAGAAACUAUAAUCUCUAAUUGUCAUUGCAAACAUGUUUACUCAUAAUAUGCUGAAUCAAGAACGAUGAACUAAUCAUAUUUACAAAAACAAGAGAGGUCGAGUUCAUACCAGCUUCUCUCAUCUCAUUCAGUCCAUCAUAUAUCGUCAUUAUUGCCUUUCACUAGAAUGACCGAACGAUGUGUAUAAUAAUAAUAGUGCACGUGCAUUGGACUAAGCUGGAAUUCCCCCAAGCUUAGGCUUUUGGUUGUCCUUGUUCCGAAAUCCAUCAAAUCUUUACCCAAGGACUUGAAAACUUCACAACACAAAACUUCAACAGAAAAUCUUAUGAGCACCGUUAGUAUAAGAAAAUAAACCACCACUUUAAGGUACUGUAAUUAACUCAUUAUUUAUUUAUAUGGGUGUUAAACCUACUGUAUUCCAACUUCUCUAUGGUUCAUACCCCCCGAUACUAGCCACAGAUUCAUCAAAAUAAGCAAACAACACACGAAAAACAGAAUCUGUCAAAAACAGAACAGUCUGUAGUAAUCUGUAUCAAAUGCAAACUUCUGGAACUCCAAAAAUUCUACCAAAAUAGGACGACCUAGAUAAUUUUGUUAUUGAUCUACUGCAAUUGGAAUCAGUAUUUUAUCACUUUCUAGUGAUUUUUAACAAUUGUUUUCGUGAUCAGAAAGUUUCUGUCUUUUUCAGCAAGAUCAAAUAAUUAUCACCCAAGAAGAUCCUAUAGGUUUUACUUGGCACAAACACUAAUUAAAACAUAAAGCAAAAUCUAACCAGAGGCUAGAUUAAUUAUUUAUUACUAAACAGGAGCAAAAAGCAAGGAACAAAAAUAAAAUUGGGUUGCCUCCCUACAAGCGCUAUCAUUUAACGCCCCUAGCUAGGCAUUAUUUUUGCUUUAUUUAUUCUAAAUAACAGAAAGUUAAAGGAGGGUACAGAGAGUUGUGCUUUCUAACUUCAUCCAUCUCAUGCUCAUCAAAAGGAAUCCACUAACAAGGUUGAUCAAGUCUUGUUAACAAACUCAUUCCGAAUCGCAUGAAACCGGAGAAUUUUCGAAUAGCACUAGGUUACCUCAACGGGGAUAUGCACGUCCCCAAUAAUAAGAAUCUCAUAUUUCUUCUUGACAGUAGGAAGAGGAAAUUCAAAACCUCCAAUAAUAAUCGAUGGAAUUUUUCCAAUAGAGUUUAUACUAUGAACUUGAGGUUGUUUCCUCGGAAAGUGUACCGUAUGCUCAUUACCAUUAACAUGAAAAGUGACAUUGCCUUUGUUGCAAUCAAUAACAGCCCCUGCAGUAUUCAAAAAGGGUCUUCCAAGAAUAAUAGACAUACUAUCGUCCUCGGGAAUAUCAAGAAUAACAAAGUCCGUUAAAAUAGUAACGUUUGCAACCACAACAGGCACAUCCUCACAAAUACCGACAGAUAUAGCAGUUGAUUUAUCGGUCAUUUGCAAAGAUAUUUCAGUAGGUGUCAACUUAUUCAAAUCAAGUCUACGAUAUAAAGAGAGAGGCAUAACACUAACACCGGCUCCAAGAUCACAUAAAGCAGUUCUAACAUAAAUUUUUUUAAUGGAGCAUGGUAUAGUGGGUACUCCUGGAUCUCCAAGUUUCUUAGGUAUUCCACCCUUAAAAGUAUAAUUAGCAAGCAUGGUGGAAAUUUCAGCUUCCGGUAUCUUUCUCUCAUUAAUAACAAUUUCUUUCAUAUACUUAGCAUAGGGAUUCAUUUUGAGCAUAUAAGUUAAUCGCAUACGCAAAAACAUAGGUCUAAUCAUUUCAGCAAAGCGCUCAAAAUCCUCAUCGUCCUUUUUCUUGGAUGGUUUGGGAGGAAAAGGCAUGGGUUUCUGAACCCAUGGCUCUCUUUCUUUGCCGUGCUUCCUAGCAACAAAGUCUCUCUUAUCAUAACGUUGAUUCUUUGAUUGUGGGUUAUCAAGAUCAAUAGCAGGUUCAAUCUCUACAUCAUUAUCAUUGCUAGGUUGAGCAUCUACAUGAACAUCAUCAUUAACAUUAUCACUAGGUUCAUGUUCAUCACCAGAUUGUGUUUCAGCAUCAGAAAUAGAAAUAUCAUUGGGAUUCUCAGGUGUGUCUAUAACAGGUUCACUAGAAGCAUGCAAAGUCCUAUCAUUUUUCUUUUUCUUCUUUUUAGAAGGACUAGGUGCAUCUACAUUAGUUCUUUGAGAAUCCUGCUCAAUUCUCUUAGGGUGACCUUCAGGAUACAAAGGUUCAUGAGUCACUUUACCUCCUCUAGUUGCAACUCUAACAGCAAAGUCCUUAUUCUUACUAUUCAAUUCAUUAAGCAAAUCAUUCUGAGCUUUAAGUACUUGUUCUACUUGAGUGGUGACCAUAGAAGCAUGGUUACUAAUGAGUUUAAGUUCACCUUUUAACUCUAGACAUAUAAUCACUCAAGUGUUCAAUCAUAUAAGCAUUUUGUUUCAAUUGUCUACCGAAAUAAGCAUUAAAAUCUUCUUUCUUAACCAUAAAGUUAUCAAACUCAUCCAAACAUUGGCUAGCAAACUUAGUGGGAGGGAUUUCAGCUUUAUGAUAUCUAUAGAGAGAAUUUACCUUUACUACCUGUGUCGGGUUAUCAAGACCGUGUACUUCUUCAAUAGGUGAUGAAUUAAGACCAUAUAUUUCUUCAACAUGCGGUAAAUUAAGACCAUGUAUUUCUUCAAUAGGAGGUAAAUUCUUAACAUCUUCGGCUUUAAUACCUUUUUAUUUCAUAGAUUUCUUUGCCUCUUGCAUAUCUUCAGGACUAAGAAAUAGAACACCCCUUUUCUUCGGGGUUGGCUUAGAGUUGGUUCAGGAAGUGUCCAAUUGUUUUCAUUAGUCAACAUAUUAUUCAAUAGAAUUUCAGCUUGAUCAACUGUUCUUUCCCUGAAAACACAACCAGCACAACUAUCCAGGUGGUCUCUGGAAGCAUCGGUUAGUCCAUUAUAAAAGAUAUCAAGUAUUUCAUUUUUCUUGAGAGGAUGAUCAGGCAAAGCAUUGAGUAAUUGGAGAAGCCUCUCCCAAGCUUGUGGGAGACUCUCUUCUUCAAUUUGCACAAAAUUGUAUAUUUCCCUUAAAGCAGCUUGUUUCUUAUGAGCUGGGAAAUAUUUAGCAGAGAAGUAAUAAAUCAUAUCCUGGGGACUACGCACACAACCAGGAUAUAGUAGUAACGAGUUUUCUCAUCAUUAGUGAAUAGGGUGGCUAUAUCAUUUAAUUUAGUAAGAUGUGCCACAACAGUUUCAGAUUCAUAGCCAUAAAAAGGAUCAGAUUCAACCAAAGUAAUUAUCUCAGGAUCAAUAGAGAAUUCAUAAUCCUUAUCAGUAACAAAGAUAGGUGAAGUAGCAUAAGCAGGAUCAUAUUUCAUUCUAGCAUUCAGAGUUUUUUCUUUAAGCUUAGCUAAUAAUUUCUUAAGAUCACUUCUAUCAUUGCAAGCAAGAAAGUCUCUAGCAGUUUCUUCAUCCAUAACAUAACCCUUAGGCACAAUAGGCAAUUCAUAUCUAGGGGGAGAAUCUUCAUCAUCACUUUUAUCAAUAUUAUCAAUUUCAUUCUCUCUAGCCCUAGCAAGUUGUUCAUCAAGAAAUUCACCAAGUGGCACAGUAGUAUCAAGCAUAGAACUAGUUUCAUCAUAAGUAUCAUGCAUAGCAGAAGUGGCAUCAUCAAUAACAUGCGACGUAUCAGAAUUAAUAGCAGAAGCAGGUUUAGGUGUCGCAAGCUUACUCAAAACAGAAGGUGAAUCAAGUGCAGAGCUAGAUGGCAGUUCCUUACCUCCCCUUGUAGUUGAGGGAUAAAUUUUAGUUUUCUCGUCUUUCAAGUUCUUCAUAGUGACCAGCAGAUAUAAAUCCCAAGUAACUCAAAGAAUAGAGCUAUGCUCCCCGGCAACGGCGCCAGAAAGUAGUCUUGAUAACCCACAAGUAUAGGGAUCGCAACAGUUUUCGACGGUAGAGUAUUCAACCCAAAUUUAUUGAUUCGACACAAGGGGAGCCAAAGAAUAUUCUCAAGUAUUAGCAGUUGAGUUGUCAAUUCAACCACACCUGGAUAACUUAGUAUCUACAGCAAAGUAUUUAGUAGCAAAGUAAUAUGGAAAUAAUGGUAACGGCAACAAAAGUAAUAUUUUGGGGUUUUGUAAUGAUUCUAACAGUAGCAACGGAAAAGUAAAUAAGCGAAGAACAAUAUGUGAAAAGCUCGUAGGCAUUGGAUCGGUGAUGGAGAAUUAUGCCGGAUGCGGUUCAUCAUGUAACAAUCAUAACAUAGGGUGACACAGAACUAGCUCCAAUUCGUCAAUGUAAUGUAGGCAUGUAUUCCGAAUAUAGUCAUACGUGCUUAUGGAAAAGAACUCGCAUGACAUCUUUUGUCCUACCCUCCCGUGGCAGUGGGGUCCUAACGAAAACUAAGGAAUAUUAAGGCCUCCUUUUAAUAGAGUACUGGACCAAAGCAUUAACACAUAGUGAAUACAUGAACUCCUCAAACUACGGUCAUCACCGGGAGUGGUCCCGAUUAUUGUCACUUCGGGGUUGUCGGAUCAUAACACAUAGUAGGUGACUAUAGACUUGCAAGAUAGGAUCAAGAACUCACAUAUAUUCAUGAAAACAUAAUAGGUUCAGAUCUGAAAUCAUGGCACUUGGGCCCUAGUGACAAGCAUUAAGCAUAGCAAAGUCAUAGCAACAUCAAUCUCAAAACAUAGUGGAUACUAGGGAUCAAACCCUAACAAAUCUAACUCGAUUACAUGAUAAAUCUCAUCCAACCCAUCACCGUCCAGCAAGCCUACGUUGGAAUUACUCACACACGGCGGUGAGCAUCAUGAAAUUGGUGAUGGAGGAUGGUUGAUGAUGACGAUGGCGGCGGAUUCCCCUCUCCGGAGCCCCGAACGGACUCCAGAUCAGCCCUCCCGAGAGAGUUUAGGGCUUGGCGGCGGCUCCGUAUCGUAAAACGCGAUGAAUCUUUCUCUCUGAUUUUUUUUCUCCCCGAACACGAAUAUAUAGAGUUGGAGUUGAGGUCGGUGGAGCUCCAAGGGGCCCACGAGGCAGGGGGCGCGCCCAGGGGGGCAGGCACGUCCCCCACCCUCGUGGAAAGGGUGUGGGCCCCCUGGCCUUGAUUCUUUCGCUAGUAUUUUUAUUAUUUCCAAAAAUAAUCUCCGUGAAGUUUCAGGUCAUUCCGAGAACUUUUGUUUCUGCACAAAAAUAAGACCAUGCCAAUUCUGCUGAAAACAGCGUCAGUCCGGGUUAGUUCCAUUCAAAUCAUGCAAGUUAGAGUCCAAAACAAGGGCAAAAGUGUUUGGAAAAGUAGAUACGACGGAGACGUAUCUGCUGUCUGAGUUUUCCAGGCGCUUUCCAUUGUGCAGUACUUUUGUACUAUGUGUGCCAAAUCUGCGAAGUGCAGUACGCGACGGCGAUUGAGGGCAUUAAGGAUUCCCUCCUUCGUAUAGUUGUUGCGAAAUACUGAAAUUGCGUCAUUGUCGCAGCAGUCUUUUAUCUUGUUUUUAACAAGAAGGAAUCUAGCCCAAAAGUGAUGGACUGUCUCCCGAGGCUGCUGCCACACAUACAUUAGGUCGCAUAUGUCCGGAGGGCUGGAAUUGCUUGGAGAAUAUUGCUUGUGGUGGGUGGGUGGGCUUGAAUUCGCACCCUGACCCACUGUGGAAUCCGGAGUUUGAAGAAAUUCCGAGGUUGCCAGCCUAGGCUCCGGAGUGCCCGACGAAUUCUCAGGCUUAACGUCCGAUUUUGUGUUCGGAGGACAGGGAUUGUCCUCUCGAGGAUGGGUAUCCGGCUCUCCGGGUUCGGAAAUCUGAACGUAGUUUGUUCUCAGCGUAGGAGAAGAGUUAUUGUCAGCUUGUUCUUCCACAACCGCUACCUGGUGGGUGAUCAGUGGAGAUUUAAUUUCUCUCUGGUCGGGUUUAAGCCCGAUCUGAUCAUAGUCAGUUGAGACCCCCAGGGCGGUGAUGCGAUCUAGCAGCUUGUUCAAAGACGAUAGAUCUGCCGGAUCCAUCUUGUCGGAGUAUUCGGGGCUGAUACAGAGGGGGUUUUCGGCGACUUGGGGGUUGCCUUCGGCUUAAUGGCCGAACGGGCACCCAUGGUGAAGCCGCCAAGCCGGAGGGUUUGCCAUGAAACUAGGGCCCCUCCGGAAGUGAUACUGUCCUUGAUGACAAGGCGAGCCAUCAAUCCUUCUAUCGACGCCAUAGUGGAACUCUCAAUGAAAGCACCAAUGUCGGUGUCAAAACCGGCAGAUCUCGGGUAGGGGGUCCCGAACUGUGCGUCUAAGGAUCAAAGGUAACAAGAGGCAGGGACGCGGUGUUUACCCAGGUUCGGGCCCUUUCGAUGGAGGUAAUACCCUACUUCCUGCUUGAUUGACUUUGAAGAAUAUAGGGGUUACAAGAGUUGAUCUACCUCGAGAUCGUAAUGGCUAAACCCUAGAUGUCUAGCCUGUCUGAUUAUGAUUGCCUCUACGGACUAAACCUCCGGUUUAUAUAGACAUCGGAGGGGGCUAGGGUUGUACAGAGUCGGUUUACAGAGAAAGGAAUCUUCAUAUCCGCACGCUAAGCUUGCCUUCCAUGCCAAGGAGAGUCCCAUCCGGAUGCGGGGGAAAGUCUUUCGUCUUGUAUCUUCACGGCCCAUCAGUCCGGCCCACGUCAAAUAGCCCGGACACCCGAGGACCCCGUAAUCCAUGACUCCCUCAAUCAUGGUCGUUACUCGUUUUCCCUUGCAAAGGAUACUCCGAAACCAUGAGGCUACCGGCAUAAUAGUGGAGUGGGCUUUGGAGUUAUCCAGCUUUGGUUUGAAGUUUGAAAGCACAUCAACUAUUCAGAGUAGGGCGUUGGCAGAGUUUAUUGCAGAAUGGACACCAACCCCUGAUGAGGAAGUGACAGAGACAGCUAUCCCCGGCAAGGAAUCACCCCAAGAAUGGAUUAUGUAUUUUGAUGGUGCCUUAUCCUGCAAGGUGCAGGAGCUGGCAUGCUUCUUGUUGCCCCCUCCGGGGAGCUCUUGAAGUACGUCGUCCAAAUGCAUUUUGCUUGGGAAGAAGCUACCAACAAUACAGCUGAGUAUGAAGGACUCCUUGCCGGGCUCAGGAUUGCAGCUGAAUUGGAAAUCAAGAAGCUGAUCGUUCGAGGAGAUUCACAGCUUGUGGUGAGACAAGUCAACAAGUAUUAACCAAGUCCAUUCAUGGAGGCAUACAUCGAGGAAGUGAGGAGAUUGAAGGAGCACUUUGACAGAUUGCAAACAGAGCACGUACCCCGUGCGGAAAACAGCAUAGCUCAUCAUCUGUCAAAGUGUGCUGCGCAGAAGCUUCCUGUGGAACCAGGGACUUUUGUUCUCCAUCUCACUCAGCCCUCCGUAUCCCCAGCAACAAUGGCCCGGAAGAGGAGACAGUUGGACUACGGUAAGCCUCUCCCAGUAGAGCCGUCCGCUCCCGGCAGAUACCCUGCCGGAAACAACUCCUCACAGCCUGCCGGACCUCCCCCUCCAGCCGGGUCCAUGAACCCCACGAACGAGGCUGUUACUCCCGCAGUAGAGGAGGUGCCGCUAGUCCUCGUUGCCGAGCCCCGGGCUCCAACUUGGGCAAGACACAUCAUCCACUUCCUCCAAACCGGAGAGCUUCCCGGUGACCAAGAUGAAGCUGAAAAAGUGGUUGGAAAUAUGCCCUAGAGGCAAUAAUAAAAUAGUUAUUAUUAUAUUUCCUUGUUCAUGAUAAUUGUCUAUUGUUCAUGCUAUAAUUGUAUUAACCGGAAACCGUAAUACAUGUGUGAAUACAUAGACCACAACAUGUCCCUAGUGAGCCUCUAGUUGACUAGCUCGUUGAUCAAUAGAUGGUUGUGGUUUCUUGACCAUGGACAUUGGAUGUCGUUGAUAAUGGGAUCACAUCAUUAGGAGAAUGAUGUGAUGGACAAGACCCAAUCCUAAGCAUAGCACAAGAUCGCGUAGUUCGUUUGCUAGAGCUUUUCUAAUGUCAAGUAUCAUUUCCUUAGACCAUGAGAUUGUGCAACUCCCGGAUACCGUAGGAAUGCUUUGGGUGUAUCAAACGUCACAACGUAACUGGGUUGCUAUAAAGGUGCACUACAGGUAUCUCCGAAAGUGUAUGUUGGGUUGGCACGAAUCGAGACUGGGAUUUGUCACUCCGUAUGACGGAGAGGUAUCUCUGGGCCCACUCGGUAAUGCAUCAUCAUAAUGAGCUCAAUGUGACUAAGGAGUUAGCCACGGGAUCAUGCGUUACGGAACGAGUAAAGAGACUUGCCGGUAACGAGAUUGAACAAAGGGAAUUGUAUACAGGAUUGAUUGAAUCCCCGACAUCGUGGUUCAUCCGAUGAGAUCAUCUUGGAACAUGUGGGAGCCAAUAUGGGUAUCCAGAUCCCGCUAUUGGUUAUUGGCCGGAGAGGCAUCUCGGUCAUGUCUACAUGGCUCCCGAACCCGUAGGGUCUACACACUUAAGGUUCGGUGAUGCUAGAGUUGUAAUGGGAAUUUUAUGUGGUUACCGAAAGUUGUUCGGAGUCUCGUAUGAUAUCCCGGAUGUCACAAGGAGUUCCGGAAUGGUCCGGAGGUAAAUAUUUAUAUAUGGGAAGUCCUAUUUUGGCCACCGGAAAAUGCUCGGGAUUUUUUUAUAUUGUACAGGGAUGGUUCUAGAAGGUUCCGGAGUGGGGCCCACCUGCAUGGCGGACCCACAUGAACAUGGGUAGUGGGGGCAAGGCCCCACACCCUGGUCAAGGCGCACCAAGAUCCCCCCCUUAGAAGGAAUAAGAUCAUAUCUCGAAGGGAUAAGAUCAAGAUCCCUAAAAAGGGGGGAUAACAAUCGGUGGGGAAGGGAAAUGAUGGGAUUUCUUUCCUCCCACCUUUGCCAACGCCCCAAUGGACUUGGAGGGAAAGAAACCAGUCCCCUCCACCCCUAUAUAUAGUUGGGAGGUGCAUGGGAGCUGACCCCUGGCGCAGCCCUCCCCCUCCAACUCCUCCUCCGUUGAGCGUAGCGAAGCUCUACCGGAGAACCAUGAGCUCCACCACCAUGCCGUCGUGCUGCCAGAGUUUUCCCUCAACUUCUCCUCUCCCCUUGCUGGAUCAAGAAGGAGGAGACGUCCCCGGGCUGUACGUGUGUUGAACGCGGAGGCGCCGUCCGUUCAGCGCUUGGAUCGGAUCUUCCGCGAUUUGAAUCACCACGAGUACGACUCCAUCAAUCGCGUUCUUGUGACGCUUCCGCUUAGCGAUCCUCAAGGGUAUGAAGAUGCACUCCCUCUCUCUUAUUGCUAGCUUCUCCUAGAUUGAUCUUGGUGAUACGUAGGAAUUUUUUUGAAUUAUUACUACAUUCCCCAACAAAAGUAGCCCGGAGGGCUAGUAUCUAUCAAUUUGUCGAUGACACUCUGUACAGAAGGAGGCCCAACCUUGUGAAAUUGAAGUGUGUCUGCCGGGAAGAAGGGAAGGAACUGUUGGCUGAGAUUCACAGAGGAAUGUGCGGCUCCCACAUUGUAUUAAGGGCGUUAGUUGGGAAAGCAUUCCAACAAGGAUUCUAUUGGCCCACAGCCCUCCAAGAUGCGGUUGGGCUAGUCACGACAUGUGAAGCCUGCUAGUUCCAUUCCAAGAAAACACACCUGCCUGCCCAAGCUCUUCAAAAAUCCCUCUAUCAUGGCCAUUUUCGGUCUGGGGGCUCGAUAUCCUCGGCCCCUUCCCCCGAGCAAUCGGGAGCUUUGAAUUCUUGUUCAUUGCCAUCGAAAAGUUUACAAAGUGGCCGGAAGUGACUGCCAUGAGAAAGGUGACUGCUCAGUCAGCUAUCAAGUUCUUGAAAGAAUUGGUGUAUCAUUUUGGAGUUCCGGCAAGGAACAUCACCGACAACGGCACCCAGUUCACGAGUUGCGCCUUCAUGCAAUAUGUUCAUGCCCUUGGAUGCAAGAUCUCAUUCGCCUCUGUGGCACACCCCUGGAGCAAUGGACAAGCUGAGAGGGCAAACGUUGAAGUGUUGCGUGGACUCAAGACGAGAACUUUUGAUACGCUGCAGAAGCACGGCAGGCAGUGGAUCGAGGAGCUGCCAGUAGUUCUCUGGUCCCUUAGAAUGACACGAAACCGAGCUACCGGGCAGACUCCCUUCUCCCUGGUCUAUGGGGCAGAAGCAGUUAUCCCCACGGAACUCAUUUACUGGUCGCCUCGAGUUCUUGCCUAUGAUGAAGUAGUGCAAGAUCAGCACCAUCAUGACGACGUUGUGCUACCCGAGGAGAACCGUCUCCGGGCUGCUACGCAUGUUGCACGCUACCGGCAAGCCCUGCAUCGCUGUCAUAGCCGCAGGGUUCAUGCCCGGUGUUUUGAGGAAGGUGACCUUGUCCUUAGGCGCGUUUAGUCCGCCAAGGGUACACACAAGUUGUCACCGAAGUGGGAAGGCCAUUACCGGGUAGUACGAGUCACCAGACCUGGCGCAGUCCGCCUGGAGACCGUAGAUGGCACUCAAUUGCAAAACUCAUGGACUAUUGAGCAUCUCCGCAAGUUCUACCCAUAAGGCGCGGCUGUCAGGCCCUGCCCGGCAGCCACCCUUUUGUGCAGGCCUUGCCUCAGUUGCAUGUAAUCCCUUGUACAAAGCUGGGGCGAUGACCCCUUGCAAGAGAAAAUAAAGAAGCACUAUGGGGGGACCCCAGACCAAGAUUGCAUGCAUGCAUGAGCACACCAAGAUAACUGCAUAAGCAUUUCAUGAGCAUUUGCAUAUAUAUAUAGAUAUGAUCGCAUCUUGCAUUCAUUCUCAUCUACAUGAAGCUGCAGGUUCCUACCAUGAACUUGGCUUCGACAAGGAGUUGAGAAGAUUGCCUGGCACAGCGAUCCCCGGCAAGCCAAACAGAUAAGUUUUACCUCCCGUCCAUUAGUGUUCUGUAAGGCUACAACUUGAGCAUGAGAAAGCCUUGCCACUCUUUUGAGACUUAGGUGCUCCCAUCCAUGACUCAAACGUUGCUUCGGUCAGAAUGGUCGUAGUAGCCUUUGGAAAAAAGAAGUUGGCCGGGGGUUGGUCCCUCUGUCUGUUCCCCGGCAGACGCAGCUCUCCGACAGACAAAAAGGCGCCGGCAGGAUAGCCUACCGGGGAAAACACGUUUAUUUACAUUAAAGAGGCAUCUCACCUCUGCAUGGACAUUCACAUGCACGAGUUCCCGACAAGGUUUAUCUUUUUCAUUCAUAUGUUAAUACAAGUACAAGCAUUACAGAACACAAACAUGGACUCGAGAGAUUACAUUAUUUGGAUUAAAAUUUGGCGAUUGCCUACAGAUUUAAGAUUUAAAAAAGAUAAGUGCUCUGUAAUGCCCUUUCUUAUCCCUCUCCUCCUAGGCACAGCCGUCUAAGGCGAGGAGGGCAAAAGGAGCACCUGGGCGGGAGCCCAACCCACUCCCAUCGGGCUCCAGGAGAGGUAGCCCAGCGGGAACGGGAGCGCGAGGGAACACCUCGAUGGAGAGGACGGCGGAGGGCGGCCCCGUCAACCACCGUCACCAGGACCAGCAAAACUCGACAGGGCUAACGGAGCUGCAACCCGAGAGGAAGCCUGACGGGGUCCAGCUGGAAGACUGCUAGAGGAGCCCGGGAACACAAUCUGCACCUCUGCAUCCAACCCCUGGCAAAUCGCAUUGCCGGGGAAGAGACGCGGAUGCAGAAGAUGGUGCUGCCGCCUGAUGAAGAUGGUGCGGGCGGCGGUCAGCCGGAGUCAGAGUCGUCGCUCCCCCGCCCGCUGCCAUCAUCAUCGCCAUCACUGUCCUCCUUGUCGCUUUCGCUCAAGGAGGAGCUUUCCUCGUCGGUGGAGCUCUCCACGCAGGACCCUAAACGACCUCCCGAGCGCCCGAAGAUCUUGACGGAGAGCGGGCCGUUCUCCAUUAAUUUGAACUGGAGAACGUGCCCCUCCGAGAAGCCAUGGGGGCGGGCAAAGGUCUUCCAGCCACGGCGAAGAUACAUCACAUGAGGGGCAGGGAAGUCGACGUCCACCCUCAUACCUCCAUUCCCACAGCCCCUCAUGUGCAGCCGCGGAGUGCGUGGUUGCUCGAUUUCCAUCUCCCGCGCGAAGGGAGUUGGGAGGCGAAGAUGACCACACAAGGGCUUGUACAGCCUGAUGAUGAACUCCCGAGGUUGGUCACCGAUGUGGCCUUCCAUCGGGGAAGGAACCACCGGCGGAGGCGCCACCAAGGCACCGCCCCGCCCUCUUCCUCCCCGAGCACCGUGGUGACCGCGACCUCGUCCCCUUCCUCCUCCCCCCGUGGCCGGUUCCGCCACCUCAGGAUCCAGGGGAGGAGGAAUGUGUUGUCGAGCAGAAGCUCUCGUCGCCGCCGCUGAAACACCACCGCGCCCUCGCCCUCUCACCAUGGCUAGAAGAGAAGGGUUGCGGAGAAGAAGAAGGAGAAGAGUGUGUGGAGAAGCACCACUCCUGCCCCUUUUUAUAGGGAAACGGGGCAGGGGCUGGCUCCUCAUACGGGAAACGGCCGCCCACGCUCCUCCAAUAUGGCCUCUCUGCACCCUCUGUGACUCUGAGAGUCGAGGCCGACCCUCCGCUCCAACCAUCGGCGCUCGGUUUUCAGCCAUGGCACUCCUCCCCGUGCCCUCCGCAUCCACCACCUACCACGCCCAAUGCAUGCGGGACACAUGGCAGGUACGUGCGAAACAGGAGGCAAGGGGGAUGGCAGUUUCCGCCCCACGAUCAAAGUUCCUCCACAAUGUUGCGCACGACGAGCGGGGAAACCGGAAACUGGCCCGAAAUCAAGGCUAACGAAGAAGCAAAAGAGACCUCAAGAGACUAGCCUCUUCAGCAACCCUGCCUGUGCACUUAUUUGGCCCUACCCCGACGACGCUCAGCAGCGCAUCCGGGGCAAGCCCAGGGGCUUCUGUGGGUGCAACAAACCCUGGUUCUGUUGCCCAGACUGUGCACAGGCACGAGAACAAGAUUGAAGCACCAUCCCAAGUCAGAGUGCAAGGACCCAAGAGAUUCGAAGGACCAGCAUACAGACCAGAGGGACCAAGAUCGAGCCAGAGAAGCAGGAUAUCACUAAGAGAAAAGCCUCCCUUGCCGGGCAGGCGAGCCCGGCAAGGGGCAAAGCCGCCCCCAGAAGCACGCGACCAAAGCGCCCCGGCAGGGCCUCCCGGGGCUCACGGAGGCAAAACCACCUCACCGACCACUCAACCAUGACCCACGUUGUCGAUCAAUGCAGUGUCAAGCCGCAAAGUUACUGAGUGGCAGUCAUUCGCCACAUGGCUGCCUCUCCUUACAGGGAAAACCCACAAACGACACCUGUCCUGCGAUGUGUCAUGCAAGCAGGUGCGGAGCUGGAAAGAUAGCCCGACAAGCCUUGCCGGGCAACCAGUGAUGUGACACUAAGCGGUGCAUUUAAUGCGCCCUGUCAGCCCAGAGUUAGGUAUGAUAGCACUGUUUGCUAUCAUAUGAGUGCAUAAUGGCUACUUUGUCAUUGUGGUGACCCCUUGAUCUAAAAAAGGAGGCCUGUGGCAACCGUAGAAAGGGUUCGAAGGUUGGAUAACUCAUCCCCAUAUGCGCGUAGUCGCUGCUUCCCCAAGGCAACCCCUGUCGGGCAAGUGUACUAUGCUCCACCACCACCUUUUCCGCCAUCAAUCCACCAAAGCAGGAGUAGGGUUUUAUGCCUCGUGGUGGCCCGAACCUGGGUAAAUUGCUUGUGUGAUCCCUGCCGCGCUGCCCCCACGCUCGUCUGCUCUUUUUGCAACGCGUCGCCCCCUGCCGAACCAGCAAGGGGCCUCCUGGUCCCAUAGGUGGCCGUGGUUUCCCGCGACACUCAAAGAGGGUAGUUUGUUUUUAGAUUUCUAGCUAGUUGGUCUAUCGCACACGAUUCAUCCUAAUUUUCAGACGCGGACGUGGAAUUCAUCCUAAAUAUCCUGUACCUCCAGCCUUGCUCGCGCUUGCGCAGUCAUGGUGAUUUUACAGUGCAGUAGCAUCGCACACUGUUAAGCCAGUGCACCCGUGUCCGUUGUGCGUCAUCCAAGUCUUCAUAUAUAGCACCAUUUGGCAGCAAAAAAUACAUGAGAGAGGGUCAGAAGACAACUAGAACAACAUGUGGUCCAGAUAUAUAUGAAUGAAAAGGGUGGUGUGUGAUGUUCAAAUUCCCAAUGCACAACUUUGAUCGCGCGGGUCCACGGGUGGGCGCGUCGUUGAAGAUCGGUGAGAGGGGCCAGAAGACAACAACCACCUGGAAGUAGCCAAAUAUAUGUAGGAAUAAAGGGCAUGAUGUUUAAAUACACAAUGCACAACUUUGGUGGCACCUGCCUCGCAAACCGAAAAGCCCCCCUUGGAUAUAUCUAUAAUGACAGGCUAAGGUCAUAGCUAGGGUGCUUGCCCCACCCCCACUUUGUGUCGGCGGGACACAUGCACGUACUCAUACUUUGGCCAUACAUGCAUGUCGCCAGGACCUACCAUAAGAUGGAAAAGUGAAUCUAUCGCUUGGUCAAACGACCACUGUUGUUGUCGAUCAAAAAGGGAUAGAAUACACCGCUUGGGCCAAUAGAUUGGACCAUCAUCAAAAACCACACGAGAGGGGCCACAAAACCAGCACCGCCUGGAUGCGACCCAAAAUGAUGUACGUUGGAAGGGGUGGUGUGUUUUAAAUACCAAAUAAUAUACAAUUUUGAUGUGGCACCUACCUCUCAAUACAGACAACCCCAAUGAAAUCUAGGUAAUUAAGGACGACAUACAUAGGGUGUCGGUCCAACCCACCAAUUCGAGCGUGUGGGAGGGAGUCCUGAGAACGCAUGAGCUCGAACUUUGUUCGAACAUGUCACCGUGACCUGACCUAACACGAACUAGGAGGAAUCAUUCAUGGCCAAACCCCCUGUUAUCGGUCAAAGGGAUGAUAUAUAUAGACCCUAGGGAGCCCAUAGAUAUGUGUGCCAUCUAAAACAACACAAGGGAGACAGGGUCGAUCAGAAGACCCCCUAUACCCUACAUGCGGCUGAAAAAUAUGUAUGGGUGGUGUGUGAUGUGUUCAAAUCCCCAAUGCACAACUUUGAUGGGACACCAACUACAUUACAACCCGAACAUCGUACCCCCAAAGCCAGGCUCAAGACGUACCAUGCCAGUUCCCCAACUUUGAGGCGGGGGGAGGGGGUAUCAAACACAUGUGCUCAAACUUAAUUUGGUCUAACAUGGCACAUAGAGCAAGAGGAAACUGUCAUGGUCAAACCCUUCUCCUAUGUUGGGUCAAAGGGUUAGAUAAGGAACCCGUCAUGGUCAAACCAUUCUCGUACGUUGGGUCAAAGGGAUAGAUUGUGUGGGCCCACAGAUCUCGAUCAUUAUAUUCUCUGUUUUCUGAAAACAAGAAAUAACAAAAAAAACAUCAUUCUACAAAUUACCAAAACAAGGAUCGCAAGGUUUAUAUAAUCGACAUGACAGGUCACUACAAACUCAUUUAGAGUCUAAAUGUCCAUAAUGACCGUAUCAUGGCGCUUAAAUGAAGCUUGAGAUAUGCAAAUUCCCACCCGGUCACCCAUCCUUAGACUCCUCUAGCCCAGCAUGCUUAACUUUUGCAUUCUAUUCGACUUGGCUAGCGGAUGGGAAGCCGCCCCUUGCUGAUAAGAGUUGACUCCUCGCCUUUAAGGCGUUUCACGCUAGUCACCUUGUGGAACCUACUCCCUGCUAUCACACACGUUUGUGAUUUUAGAAAUUGCAUGCAAUCUUUACAUACCGGACCACUUCCAUACAAACUUACAUCAUUUUUUACAUAAAACUAGCCGGAAGAAGCAAAAGCUUUGCCUUUUCAUUAAUUAAGAACAAUAUAGUUGCCUAGUUAAUUGCGGAAAACCGCAUCUGAUGCGCGGCGAUGUUCUCCUGCUCUUGCGCGGCACCUCUUUGACACUCUUGCUCUGGUCUGCUCCAUGGGCGGCGACAAACCCAUGUGUAGACAUUGGCCCGCUCAAGGACUAGGGCGCAUUGAUACCAUCAUGCUUGGCGGCGCGCUACCGCUCUUGCUCGACAGUGCAUGACCGUUCUUGCUCUUCGGCCUACUUCGGCUCGUUCUCUUCGUUGAGGAGGUUGAUGACAACGGCGGCGCUUCGCUGGAUUGGCGUGCUUGGAAUGAUAUACCGCGGUACGGUCGGUGUGUCACUGAUACGUCCAUUUUGCAUCAUGUUUUCCUAUUGUUAUUUAUGAUGUUUUAUGAAUAGUAAUGCUUUUUGGAGUAAUUCUAAUGCCUUUUCUCUCAAAAUAUGCAAGGUACACACAAAGAGGGAGAAUUCCGGCAGCUGGAAAUCUGGACCAGGAAAAGCUACGUCAGGCCACCUAUUCUACACAACUCCAAACAAGCUGAAACUUUACGGAGAUUUUUUUAUGGAAUAUAUGAGGAAUAUUGGAGCCAAUAAGUACCAGAGGGGGCCCCACCAGGUGGGCACAACCCACCUGGGUGUGCCAGGAAGCCCAGGCACGCCCUGGUGGGUUGUGCUCCCCUCGGCCCACCUCCGGUGCCUAUCUUCUGGUAAAUAAGUCAUUUUGACCUAGAAAAAAUGAGAUGAGGACUUUCAUGACUGAGCGGCGCCGUCUCGAGGCAGAAAUUGGGCAGGAGGACUUUUGCCCUCGGCGGAGCGAUUCCGCCGGGGGAACUUCCCUCCCGGAGGGGGAAAUCAUUGUCAUCAUCAUCACCAACAACUCUCCCAUCUUGGGGAGGGCAAUCUCCAUCAACAUCUUCAACAACACCAUCUCAUCUCAAACCCUAGUUCAUCUCUUGUAUUCAAUCUUUGUACUGGAACUAUAGAUUGGUGCUUGUGGGUGACUAGUAGUGUUAAUUACAUCUUGUAGUUGAUUACUAUAUGGUUUAUUUGGUGGAAGAUUAUAUGUUCAGAUCCAAUAUGCUAUUUAAUACCCCUCUGAUCUUGAGCAUGAUUAUCAUUUGUGAGUAGUUACUUUUGUUCUUGAGGUCAUGGGAGAAAUCAUGUUGCAAGUAAUCAUGUGAACUUGAUGUGUGUUCGAUAUUUUGAUAGUAUGUAUGUUGUGAUUCCCUUAGUGGUGUCAUGUCAACGUCGACUACAUGACACUUCACCAUAGUUGGGCCUAAGGGAAUGCAUUGUGGAGUAGUUAUUAGAUGAUGGGUUGCGAGAGUGACAGAAGCUUAAACCCUAGUUUAUGCGCUAUUCCGUAAGGGGCCGAUUGGAUCCAAAAGUUUGAUGCUAUGGUUAGAAUUUAUUCUUAAUACUUUUCUCGUAGUUGCGGAUGCUUGCCAGAGGGUUAAUCAUAAGUAGGAGGUUUGUUCAAGUAAGAACAGCACCUAAACACCGGUCCACCCACAUAUCAAAUUAUCAAAGUAGCGAACACGAAUCGAACCAACUAGAUGAAAUUCCUGUGUACCCUCAAGAAUGCUUUGCUUACUAUAAGAGACCGUUUUGGCCUGUCCUUUGCCUCAAAAGGAUUGGGCUACCUUGCUGCACUUUUGUUACUAUUAUCGUUACUUGCUCAUUACAAAUCAUCUUGCUAUCAAACUACUUUGUUACAUACAAUUUCAGCACUUGCAGACAUUACCUUGCUGAAAACCACUUGUCAUUUCCUUCUGCUCCUCGUUGGGUUCGACACUCUUACUUAUCAAAAAGAGCUACAAUUGAUCCCAUAUACUUGUGGGUCAUCAAGGCUAUUUUCUGGCACUGUUGCCAGGGAGUGAAGCGCCUUUGGUAAGUGGAUUUUGGUAAGGAAACAUUUAUAUAGUGUGCUGAAAUUUACAGUUACUUGUUACUAUGGAAAACAAUCCUUUGAGGGGUUUGUUUGGGGUAUCUUCACCUCAACCAGAACCACAAUUAGCUACCCCUCAACCUACUGCACCUACUGAAAAUAUUGAAUAUGAAAUUCCUUCAGGUAUGAUAGAACAACUGCUAGCUAAUCCUUAUACAGGAGAUGGAACCAAACAUCCUGAUAUGCACUUGAUAUAUGUGGAACAAAUUUGUGGAUUGUUUAAGCUUGUAGGUUUACCUGGAGAUGAACUUAAUAAGAAGGUUUUCCCUUUAUCUUUGAAGGAAAAAUCAUUGGCAUGGUAUAGGCUAUGCGAUGAUAUUUGAUCUUGGAAUUGUAAUCGAUUGAAAUUGGAGUUCCACCAAAAGUUUUAUCCCAUGCAUCUAGUUCAUUGUGAUCAGAAUUAUAUAUAUAAUUUUUGGCCUCGUGAAGGAGAAAGUAUUGCUCUAGUUUGGGGGAGGCUUAAGUCAAUGUUAUAUUCAUGCCCCAAUCAUGAGCUCUCAAGAGAAAUUAUUAUCCAGAAUUUUUAUGCUCGGCUUUCUCAGAAUGAUCGAUCCAUGCUUGAUACUUCUUGUGCUGGUUCUUUUAUAAAGAAGACUAUUGAAUUCCGGUGGGAUCUUUUGGAAAGAAUUAAGCGCAACUCUGAAGAAUGCGAACUCGACGAAGGUAAAGAGUCAGGUAUUAAGCUUAAGUAUGAUUGUGUUGAAUCUUUUAUGAAUACCGAUGCUUUUCAAAAGUUUAGCACUAAAUAUGGACUAGAAUCUGAGAUAGUAGCCUCUUUUUGUGAAUCAUUUGCUACUCAUGUUGAUCUCCCUGAAGUGAAGUGGUUUAAAUAUCACCCACCUAUUAAAGAAGAAAUUAAAGAACCGGAACUAGCUAAAGAGGAAACCAUAAUUUAUAAUGUUGAUCCAGUUGUUCCUACUGCUUAUAUUGAGAAACCACCUUUCCCUGUUAGGAUAAAGGAACAUACUAAAGUUUCAACUGUGGUCAACAAAAGUUAUAUUAAAACACCUAAACCUGAUGAACAAAUUAAAGUAGAGCCUAGUGUUGCUAUGGUUAAGGAUCUCUUCGAAGAAAAUAUAGAUGGGCAUGUUAUUUACUUUUGUAAUGAAGCUACUAGAAUUGACAAACCCGAUAAAAUGGAUAAUCAUAGACCCGUUGUUGGCAGGCCCGUUGUCUCAGUUAAAAUAGGAGAUCACUAUUAUCAUGGUUUAUGUGACAUAGGUGCUAGCGUGAGUGCUAUUCCCUUCACCUUAUAUCAAGAAAUUAUGAAUGACAUAGCACCCGCUGAAAUAGAAGAAAUAGAUGCCACUAUUAAACUUGCUAAUAGAGACACCAUCACACCACUUGGGAUUGUUAGAGAUGUUGAAGUCUUGUGUGGGAAAAUAAAAUACCCUACUGAUUUUCUUGUUCUUCGUUCCCCACAAGAUGACUUUUGUCCCAUUAUCUUUGGUAGACCUUUCUUGAACACCGUUAAUGCUAAAAUAGAUUGUGAGAAACAAACUGUCGGUGUUAGUUUUGGCGGUGAGUCUCAUGAGUUUAAUUUUUCCAAGUUUAGUAGAAAGCUUCAUGAAAAAGAAUUGCCUAGUAAGGAUGAAAUAAUUGGUCUUGCUUCUAUUGCUGUGCCUCCUACUGAUCCUCUAGAACAAUAUUUGCUAGACCAUGUAAAUGAUUUACAUAUGCAUGAAAGAAAUGAAAUAGAUCAGAUUUUCUUUGAACAACGUCCUCUACAUAAACACAAUUUUCCUAUUAAAACUCUAGGAGGUCCUCCUCCACCUAAAGGUGAUCCUGUGUUUGAAUUAAAACAAUUGCCAGACACUUUGAAAUAUGCUUAUCUUGAUGAAAAGAAGAUAUAUCCUGUUAUUAUUAGUGCUAACCUUUCAGAACAUGAAGAAGAAAGAUUAUUGAAAGUUCUAAGGAAGCACCGAGCUGCUAUUGGAUAUACUCUUGAUGAUUUAAAGGGCAUUAGUCCCACUCUAUGUCAGCACAAGAUUAAUAUGGAACCUGAUGCUAAACCCAUUGUUGAUCACCAACGUCGGUUAAAUCCGAAAAUGAAGGAAGUGGUAAGAACGGAAAUCUUAAAACUUCUAGAAGCAGGUAUAAUCUAUCCUAUAGCUGAUAGUAGAUGGGUAAGUCUUGUUCAUUGUGUCCCUAAGAAAGGAGGUAUUACUGUUGUUCCUAAUGAUAAGAAUGAACUUAUUCCACAAAGAGUUGUUAUAGGCUAUAGAAUGGUAAUUGAUUUUAAAAAAUUAAACAAAUCAACUAGAAAAUAUCAUUACCCUCUGACUUUUAUCGAUCAAAUGCUAGAAAGAUUAUCUAAGCACACACAUUUUUGCUUCCUUGAUGGAUAUUCUGGUUUUUCACAAAUACAUGUUUCUCAACCUGAUCAAGAAAAGACUACUUUUACUUGCCCCUUUGGAAAUUAUGCUUAUAGACGUAUGCCUUUUGGUUUAUGCAAUGCACCUGCUAACUUUCAAAGAUGUAUGGAUGCUAUAUUCUCUGACUUUUGUGAAAAGAUUGUUGAUGUUUUCAUGGAUGACUUCUCUGUUUAUGGGAAGUCUUUUGAUGAUUGUUUAAGCAAUCUUGAUCGAGUUUUGCAGAUAUGCGAGCAAACAAAUCUUGUCUUGAAUUGGGAGAAGUGCCACUUUAUGGUUAAUGAAGGUAUUGUUUUGGGCCAUAAAAUUUCUGAAAGAGGUAUUAAAGUGGACAAAGCUAAGGUUGAUGCAAUUGAGAAAAUGACAUGUCCUAAAGAUAUCAAAGGUAUUUGUAGUUUCCUAGGUCAUGUUGGUUUCUAUAGGAGAUUUAUCAAAGACUUUUCUAAAAUUUCUAGGCCUCUUACAAAUCUUUUGCAAAAGGAUGUUCCUUUUUUUUUGAUGAUGAUUGUUUAGAAGCCUUCGAAACACUCAAGAAAGCCUUAAUUUCUGCACCUAUUGUUCAACCACCUUAUUGGAACUUGCCUUUUGAAAUUAUGUGUGAUGCUAGAGAUUAUGUUGUUGGUUCUAUUCUAGGACAAAGAGUUGAUAAGAAACUGAAUGUUAUUGAUUAUGCUAGUAAAACUCUAGAUAGUGCUCAACGAAAUUAGGCGACUACUGAAAAAAAGAAUUUCUAGCAGUGGUGUUUGCUUGUGAUAAAUUUAGAUCUUACAUUGUUGAUUCAAAAGUAAUUGUUCACACCGAUCAUGCUGCUAAAAAUAUCUUAUGGAAAAGAAAGAUGCCAAACCUAGACUUAUUCGAUGGGUUCUCUUGCUACAAGAAUUUGAUGUACAUAUCACUGAUAGAAAAGAAGCUGAAGCUCGUAGCUGAUAACUUGUCUAGGCUUGGAAAUGUUCUUGAUGACCCACUUCCUAUGGAUGAUAGUUUUCCUGAUGAGCAGUUAGAUGCAAUAAAUGUUUCUCAUAACACUCCAUGGUAUGCUGACUAUGCUAAUUACAUUGUUGCUAAAUAUUUACCACCUAGCUUUACAUACCAACAAAAGAAAAAAUACUUCUACGAUUUGAGACAUUACUAUUGGGAUGACCCACAUCUUUAUAAAGAAGGAGUAGAUGGUAUUAUUAGACAUUGUGUACCUGAGCAUGAACAGGGACAAAUCCUACGGAAAUGUCACUCCGAAGCUUACGGAGGACAUCAUGCGGGAGACAGAACUGCUCACAAGGUAUUGCAAUCUAGAUUUAAUUGGCCUACUCUCUUCAAGGAUGCCCGUAAGUUCGUGUUAUCUUGUGAUGAAUGUCAAAGAAUAGGUAAUAUUGGUAAGCGUCAAGAAAUGCCUAUGAAUUAUUCACUUGCUGUUGAACCAUUUGAUGUUUGGGGAUUUGAUUACAUGGGACAUUUUCCUUCCUCUAAUGGGUAUACACAUAUUUUGGUUGUUGUUGAUUAUGUUACUAAAUGGGUAGAAGCUAUUCCAACGAGUAGUGCUGAUCACAAUACCUCUAUUAAAAUGCUUAAGGAAGUUCUUUUCCCAAGGUUUGGAGUCCCUAGAUAUUUAAUGACUGAUGGUGGUUCACACUUUAUUCAUGGUGCUUUCUGUAAAAUGAUUACCUAAGUAUGAUGUUAACCAUAGAAUUGCAUCACCUUAUCACCCUCAGUCUAGUGGUCAAGUUGAACUUAGCAAUAGAGAAAUAAAAUUAAUUUUGCAAAAAACUGUUAAUAGGUCCCAGAAGAAUUAGUCUAAGAAAUUAGGUGAUACACUUUGGGCUUAUAGAACAGCAUACAAAAAUACUAUGGGUAUGUCUCCUUAUAAAAUGGUUUAUGGAAAAGCUUGUCAUUUACCUCUUGAGUUAGAACAUAAAGCAUAUUGGGAAAUUAAAGAACUCAACUAUGAUUUCAAACUUGCCGGUGAAAAGAGGUUAUUUGAUAUUAGCUCAUUAGAUGAAUGGAGAACCCAAGCUUAUGAAAAUGCCAAGUUAUUUAAAGAAAAAGUUAAAAGAUGGCAUGAUAAAAGAAUUCAAAAGCGUGAGUUAAAUUUGGAGAAUAUGUUCUUUUGUAUAACUCUCAUUUUAGAUUCUUUGCAGGAAAACUCCUCUAAAAUGGGAAGGACCCUAUGUUAUCGAGGAGGUUUAUUGGUCUAGAGCUAUCAAAAUAAAUAAUGCCAAAGGCACUAACCCGAAGGUUGUUAAUGGGCAACGAAUAAAACAUUAUAUCUCAGGUACACCCAUUAAUGCUGAAAGUAAUAUUAUCCAAACUUUGACACCGGAAGAACACAUAAAAGAGUCCUUCCGGAACACUCCAGAAUCAUGAAAAAAAGGAGGUACGUGAUACGAUAAGUAAACGGACUCCAAAAAAUCCGAAAAAAUAUUUUUUGUCAAUUUUGGAAUAUAACAAAAAUUAGGAAAAUAAGAAACAACCAGGAAGGUCACCCUGGUGGGCACAAGACACCAGGGCGCGCCUGGCUUGCUAGGCGCGCCCAGGUGGGUUGUGCCCACCUCGGGUACCUCCCGGACUCCAUUUUUCUACCGUUUGCUUGUUUCCCAAGAUAAAAAAUCUUUAUAUACCCCCCGAACCUAUUGACCACUGUAUCACAAAGAAAUCUUCUGUUUUCUUUUCUUGUUGUUUCCCUGAUAGAUCUGAAAAUAUGUCAUCCCAAGACUCCGAGGGUGAGAUCUAUGUUGUUGAUUUCAUCGCAAACCCCAAGUCUUAUGGGGAUGUGGAGCAUUAUGGCUGGACUUCGGAGGAAGAGGGAGACUAUUAUCCUAGGGAGAAGGAGGAGACGAGCUCAGACGAGGAUGAAGCCCCGUUGCCUCAACUUGGGGACAUGCAUGUGGAAUUCAAGAAGUCCAGCCUCCCCAACAAAGCAAAUAGGCCUAAGGUUCGGUUCAUGCCCUUCCGCCUUUUGCAGGAAAAUAAGCAAGAUCUAUGCAAAAAGGUAUUGGAGCUUGAGCAGGUGCUCGGUGAAUUGAAGGAGGAAAAUUCCAUCCUCAAGCGUAAGCUAAGGAAGAAGGACAAACCCACUACUACACCACCACGACCUUCUUCAUCACCAAAAGAAAAUUGAGUAUCAGGUAUGGGCACUCCCCUUGGCUUCGGCCAAUCUUGGGGGAGGUGCCCCGGUAUCGUAUCACCCCCAUUAUCUUUUGCCUUUACUUAUCUUAGUUCGAUCCAUAGUUAUCUUUUUCUUUAGAUGAAUAAAGUUUAGUUCGACCCUUUCUUUUCGUGUGUUUUCUUGGUGAUCUAUCCUUGUAAUCGUGUGUGAGAUAUAUAAUAAAGUUUAGUUUGAGUUUUUGCUUUAUUUACUUUCAUGUUGCAAUAAAAAGAAAGGAAAUAAAUUAAAAAGAUCGUAUGUUAAUCCUAUGGUAGGUGAUGACGGCCCAUAAGGAAAAGUAUAAGUAGGAAAUUUUAUUAGAGAUUGACAAACAUAGCAUUGGUCAAUGAUGCAACUCAUGAAAGAAUUAAUAAGGGAAGAGAAGAUUCACAUAUAAAUACACUAUCCUGGAAAUCUUUUGUGAUUGUGAGCCCCCAUAAAAAUAUUAUAUUCCAAAAUUGUUGAUGUUGGGCAGGGAAGACAACGUAAUGAUUUAUGUUUGUUCAUAUUCACAUAGAAGUUAUAUUGUCAUAGAUCCUUUAACAUGUGGUGCUUGCCCCCUAUCUUUGCUAGCAAAAAAUUCUGCACCAAGUAGAGAUACUACUUGUGCAUCCAAAAACCCAUAAACCCAAAUCUUAUUUUCAAGAGUCCACCAUACCUACCUAGGGAUUGAGCAAGAUCCCUCAAGUAAGUUGUCAUCGGUGCAAUAAGGCAAUAAAAAUUGCUUCUAAAAGUGUGAGAUCAUUUAGUGUAAGAGAAAAUUGAGCGUUGCACGAACUUGUGAUGGUAAAGAAUAAAAGCGACAAACUGCAUAAUAAAGGUUGCCAUCACAAGGGGAAAUACAACGUGACGUUCUUUUCCACUAAGGGGUUGAGCAUACAAACAAAUAAGCGCAUGGCAACCUCUGCUUCCCUCUGCGAAGGGCCUAUCUUUUACUUUUAUGUAUUAACUUUUAUGCAAGAGUCAAAGUUUUUCUCUCUACUCCUUUUUAUUUUUCUCCUUUGGCAAGCAUCAUGUGGUGAGGAAAGAUCUAGGCACAUAUGUCCAGUUGAAUAUGGGUGGCAUGAGUUAUUAUUGUUGACAUCACCUUUGAGGUGAGUACGUUGGGAGGUGAAACUAUAAGUCCCUAUCUUUCUAUGUGUCCGGUUGAAACGUUUUGCUCAUGUGUAUGCGGUGAGUGUUAGCAAUCAUAGAAGACUAUAUGAUGGUUGAGUAAGUGGACUUGCCUAAAGCCUCUGAUACGUGACCCUUCCUGAAAAGAUGAUUAAUUGUAGUUGCAAAGUUGACUGAGAACAUAGUUUGUUGGUUUCUAAUAGAAUUUAUGCUUUAUACUUCAAUAGUGUGAUGAAUUGUUACUCAUUCAUGAUAAGUCUAUGAUAAAAGUUUUAUGUUUAAAUUUGUUGCUGUUAUAAUAAUUGACAUGAUGCUUCUAUGUCCAUAUUUUGUUUUUAUCGACACCUCUCUCUCCAAGCAUGUGGACAUGUUUUUCGAUUUCGGUUUUCGCUUGAGGACAAGCGAGGUCUAAGCUUUGGGGAGUUGAUACGUCCAUUUUGCAUCAUGUUUUCCUACUGUUGUUUAUGAUGUUUUAUGCAUAAUAAUGCUUUUGGAGUAAUUCUAAUGCAUUUUCUCUCAUAAUAUGCAAGGUAAACACAAAGAGGGAGAAUUCCGGCAGCUGGAAAUCUGGACCUGGAAAAGCUACGACACGCCACCUAUUUUGCACAACUCCAAACAAGCUGAAACUUUACGAAGAUUUUUAUGGAAUAUAUGAGGAAUAUUGGAGCCAAUAAGUACCAGAGGGGGGCCACCAGGUGGGCACAACCUACCUGGGCGCGCCAGGGAGCCCAGGCGCGCCCUGGUGGGUUGUGCUCCCCUCAGCCCACCUCCGGUGCCCAUCUUCUGGUAUAUAAGUCAUUUUGACCUAGAAAAAAUGUGAGGAGGAGUUUAGGGACAGAGCGCCGUCGUCUCGAGGUGGAACUUGGGCAGGACCGCUUUUGCCCUCCAGCGGAGCGAUUCUACCUGGGGAACUUCCCUCCCGGAGGGGGAAAUCAUCAUCAUCAUCAUCAUCAUCACCAACAACUCUCCCAUCUUGGGGAGGGAAAUCUCCAUCAACAUCUUCAACAGCACCAUCUCAUCUCAAACCCUAGUUCAUCUCUUGUGUUCAAUCUUUGUACCGGAACUAUAGAUUGGUGCCUGUGGGUGACUAGUAGUGUUGAUUACAUCUUGUAGUUGAUUACUAUAUGGUUUAUUUGGUGGAAGAUUAUAUGUUCAGAUCCAAUAUGAUAUUUAAUACCCCUCUGAUCUUGAGCAUUAUUAUCAUUUGAGAGUAGUUACUUUUGUUCUUGAGGUCACGGGAGAAAUCAUGUUGCAAGUAAUCAUGUGAACUUGAUGUGUGUUCGAUAUUUUGAUAGUAUGUAUGUUGUGAUUCCCUUAGUGGUGUCAUGUGAACGUCGACUACAUGACACUUCACCAUAUUUGUGCCUAAGGGAAUGCAUUGUGGAGUAGUUAUUAGAUGAUGGAUUGCGAGACUGACAGAAGCUUAAACCCUAGUUUAUGCGAUAUUCCGUAAGGGACCGAUUGGAUCCAAAAGUUUAAUGCUAUGGUUAGAAUUUAUUCUUAAUACUUUUCUCGUAGUUGCGGAUGCUUGCCAGAGGGUUAAUCAUAAGUAGGAGGUUUGUUCAAGUAAGAACAGCACCUAAGCACCGGUCCACCCACAUACCAAAUUAUCAAAGUAGCGAACACAAAUCAAACCAACAUGAUGAAAGUGACUAGAUGAAAUGCCCGUGUACCCUCAAGAAUGCUUUGCUUACUACAAGAGACCGUUUUGGCCUAUCCUUUGCCUCAAAAGGAUUGGGCUACCUUGCUGCACUUUUGUUACUAUUAUCGUUACUUGCUUGUUACAAAUUAUAUUGCUAUCAAACUACUCUGUUACUUACAAUUUCAGCACUUGCAGACAUUACCUUGCUGAAAACCACUUGUCAUUUCCUUCUGCUCCUCGUUGGGUUCGACACUCUUACUUAUCGAAAAGAGCUACAAUUGAUCCCAUAUACUUGUGGGUCAUCAGUCACCGCCUAGCCUUCUAUGCCCACUGACACUGGCAGUGGGAAACCGAUGGGAGAAGAGGCGGGAAACCGAUGGGAGGAGUGGCAGGAAACCGAUUGGGUGAGUGGCGGGGAACGGUAUCGUGUUUGGAUAUAUAUAACACCAUUAAUAUGGAGCACUUAGUAAAGAAGGAAGCGCGAGCUAGCACGACAUGUGUGCACGAUGCUUACCCACGGGUGUCAGGCGGUUAACCAGAACAACUUUAAAUAAUAAGGGUUCGUCUGGCCUUUUUUAUAAAUUAUAAUUGAGUUUUCUAAGCAUUAAUUUAAUGUGCAUAAUUCAAACUUGAACUACAAAUACAUGCUCUAGUGCACCAAAAUGGCUAGAAAAUCAUACAUAUGUCCUUGGAUGCAUGUUUAGGUCCCAUGCAAAGAAUGGGAAUGAAUUAAGCUGUCUGGGCAUCCUGGCUCGGCCUCAAACAUUGAGAAUCUCUGUUUUUUAAUCCCCGUAAAUCCAAAACUCACCCGAAAAUCGUGAAACUUGGCAUGGUGUCACGACAUGGCACAUAUAUGUCAUGGUAAAAAAAUUGUGCAAUUUGGGGCAAGCUUUAUUACAAGCCUCUUAUAAGCCGGAGCUUCUCUCAAGAAGCCUCGUGGUUCCGAUAGGGAAACGUGUCCCCCUUGUGGGCAAAACGAUUAUCAUUGCCUCUUCUUGCCUUGUAUUUUUUUUCUACAGGCAACAUGUAACAACAGGAGAUUCAUGAUGAAAUUUGAAAUUAUUUAGGGUUCGUUCGGCUUUUUUAUAUAUUAAUUGAGUUUUCUAGGUAUUUAAUGUCCAUAAUUCAAAUCUGAACUACAAAUACAUGCUUUAGUGCACCAAAAUGGCUAGAAAAAUCAUACAUGUGUCCUUGGGUGCACGUUUAGAUCCCAAGCAAGGAAUGGGAAUGAAUUACAACCAUCUUAGCGUCCUGGCUCGGCCUCAAACAUUGGAAAUCUCGGUUUUUAAAUCCCCGUAAAUCCAAAACUCACCAGAAAAUCAUGAAACUUGGCUUGGUGUCACGCCAUGGCACAUAUAUUUGUGGUAAAAAAUUGUCCGAUUUGGGGCAAGCUUUACUACAAGCCUCUUACAAACCGGAGCUUCUCGCAAGAACCCACAUGGUUCGGAUAGGGAACAUGUCGCCCUUGUGGGCGAAAUGAUAAUCGCUGUCUCUUCUCGCCUUGUAUUUUUUUCCACGGGCAACAUGGAACAAUAGGAGAUUCGUGCUGAAAUUUGAAAUUAUUCAGGGUUCUUUGGCCUUUUAUACAUUAAUUGAGUUUUCUAGGCAUUUAAUGUCCAUAAUUCAAAUUUGAACUACAAAUACAUGCUCCAGUGCACCAAAAUGACUAUAAAAAUCAUACAUGUGUCCUUGGAUGCAUUUUUAGGUCCCAUGCAAGGAACGGGGAUGAAUUACAAACGUCUCGGCAUCCUGGCUCGGCCUCAAACAUUGACAAUCUUGGUUUUUAAAUCCCCGUAAAUCCAAAACUCACUCAACAAUCAUGAAACUUCGCAUGGUUUCAUGACAUGGCACAUAUAUGUCGUGGUAAAAAAAUCUUCAAAUUUGAGACAAGGCGCACACAUUAAUAGCCAACGCGGUCCUUUUGGAACAAAUAGCUGGCACGUUACUAUCAAAAUGGUCAUAUUUUUUUAACCGUGUGUGUUUCUGUAACCAUUUAAGUGUGGCCACGCAUCCCUCUUUUUAUUGGGGAGUACUACCUCGGUCCUGGUUUAUUGGUCCUCUUUGUAUUUUGAGCCAAAAUUUAACCAUAGUUGGUGGCAUGCGUGCAGCUGUUUGAUUAGACGGGAAGAGUGGGAGAAGUCCGUCGUGCAGGCUCGAUGGGACGUGUGUGAGCAAUCCGCCGGCAGGCUCGAUGGGACGCGUGUGACCUGUCCACCGCGCAGGCUCGACGGGACGCGAUCGACCUGUCUGCCGCGCAGGCUCGACGGGACGCGUUCGACCUGUCCGCCGCACAUGCUCACCGGGAAGCGAGCUCUUUGACCUCCAUCCACGAGCCGUCCACCUCGCUCACAACUUAUCCAUUAAUGGCGGUCGAGCCGCUGUUUAACAUGUGGUUAAAGCACCUGGAUGGAGGAUGUUUUCUUGUGAUCCCAUGGCCCCGCACAACGGUAGCAUUUGUUUUGUUCGUGCCUCGCUGAGAACAUGAUUUUAGCUUGUUUUCAACUCGUAUUCCAGAUAAUUUAAAAUGCCACAUGCGGCAACGGAUAAUACGACGACAAAUUUACAACGGCGCGGAUAAUAAUUGUCUUACAUAUUCUGGAUAAUUUAAAAUGCCACAUGCAACAACGCCUGAAAGACACAGGGGCAAGAGAAGAAGUAAAUCACAGACAACGAUCUAGGUCGCUACUGUCUCUACUCCUCGAUGGAUCGCCGGGCGAGGAGUUCCUCCAGCUCCUUCUUCAAAUCCUCACGACUUUUACUUGACAGUAGCCACGGGUUCCUCUACCUGCAGCUCGCGCUUGAUGCGGAGUUUCCUCGAGUCACCCAUAAGUUCCUCGAUGACGGCUUCCAGCGUCAUCCCCGAGGCACUGCUCUGCUCAUGCAGCUUCUUCGAGUCGGCGGCCUCCUCCUCCUUCUUGGCGAGCUCGUUGAGGAGCUUUGCAUUGUCACCCAUCAGUUGCACGACAAGGCCAGUCGCCUUCUCAACUGAGGCAUCGCUAAUCUCGAGUAGCUUCACCAAGCCGUCGACCAACUCAUGCUACUUAAUUAGGCUAGCGAGACUAUCAUUGUCGCUGGACAAGGACUUCAGCACCGCCAGAUCCUCAUGUUCACCGACACGGCGAGUGCGCUUGUGAGAGCCCUCGCCUGCCGGUGAGAGCUCGUUCAAGGGCUUCGCGAUGUGCCGGGACAUCUCUGUUGUGGCUGUCGCAUAGCGGCGGGACCUCUCUAGUGCUUUUGCGGCCUUGGUCUUUGCUCCCUGGUUAUAUGUUGACCCAAAACUCCUCCUACCGGUCAUGGUGAAAUGACUUGACGGGAAAGACCUAUUUUUUUGGGCGAUGAGGAGAGGAAUUGUGAAGUAAUUUUCAAGUGGGUAGUUUUUAUAGCCAAGUGCUAAGUGGGAACAUGUUUAGGUUUGAUCGGUGUGAAUAUAUUUGCAAUUACUUAUUGCGUGGUAAUAUGGAAUGUGACGAGAAACAAGCUCAAAAUUUAUUGAUGGUUCUAGGCUCGAAGCCUGAGAUGUUUCCCGGAUGGCGUAUGUGGGCCCGCGUUCUUGGAUGUGUACGUGUCUGCCCACUAUCACACACGGUCCAGAUAUCACCAUCGUGUCCGAUGGAUGGGCCGUCGCGCCUCUCAUGGGGUGCCAGAAGGUUGACCAAAAUUGCAAUAUGCAGAUGUGGUUGCGCGCCGUUGAGGCGGCCGCGGCACGCUCCGCUCUGGCGUCCCUGCGCGCGCUCUGCUCGCCGUUGAGGCAAAUUUACAAUGGCAAUGGUUAAUAAUUGUCUUACAUAUUAAGGAUAAUUUAAAAUGCCACAUGUGGCAACACCCAAAACACACACGCCCUACAUAUGCUUAGUGACUUAAAAUGUCGAUAUGCAACAUUUGGAUACAAUUAUAAUAAAAUAUAGGAUAAAAGGCUGAGCCGGCGGCCUUCCGACGACGGUCUUCUUGGACUCCAUGAUCAGCAUAGCACCCUUGCGGCCGUUCAUUCAGAGUGUCCGGACCCGCGGCCACGGUACCCGUCUCCGCCUGCGAAGCUGCUGGCGCUGGGAGGCUCUUGGGGUUGUUGGGCCUCUUCCAGUAGAGCUUGACAGUGUGCAAUCGCGUGCAUGACAUGCCCGCGGAACCGCUCCCAUCUCCAUGUCUCUGCACUGGUAGCAAAUUCCGUCCAUCACUUGCAUCCUCAAGAUAUCACGUUGGUGAUGUUCUACUUUGUCGGGGACGUCAACUCCGACAAGGAUGCGCUCGAGCCUAGCAACACAUCAUUGGGAUCGAGGUUGACACGGCCACCGACGGCAAUGAUGAGGCGGUAGACAGGUUGUCUCAUAACUAAAACACAGAGGUCCUCUGCCCAUUCCUGGCGGGCAUCAGGCUCCCAAUGAGCACCGGUGACAGCGGAUCUUCGGGUGGGUCCUCGAUCAUGCCGCCUAGCAGCUCUGGAUCUUUUGCAUGGUGGAUGGCAAAGUGCUCAUCACACUUCCUCUGCAAUAUGUCCAUUGUGCGCCCAAGGAACGGCACAGCGAUAUCGCUACCGAUGGGCCAUGGCGCCUGCACCAGCUGAUGAAGCUCUUGCUCUCCGACCUACUCCGGCUCGUUCUCCUUGCCAAAGAUGUAACACAGGAAGGGGUCAACGUCGAAGCAUCGGUUUCCUGGCAUGCUUGGAAUAACUAAUGGUAGAUAGGUAUGGUAUAGACCUGCGCACAGUGUCACUACGGUGUGUUGCCGCCUGGGUCAUAUGGAGCUAGCCACUAGCUGGUGGCGGGAAACCGAUGAGGGAAGACGCGGGAAGCAUUGGCGUGGAUUGCGGGACACGUGUAUAACGCCAUUAAUUUCUGCACUGGGGGUCUGUGUUGGUAUAGAAACUACCUCCGCCUUGGUUUAUUUGUCCCCUUCGUAUUUUGUACCAAUUUUUUACCUUAGAUUUAACUAAGAAAAUAUUAAUGCAUGUCAUCGAAAAUAAUAUUGUUGGGCAGUUAUUCCCUACUAUAUGCAAUAAUUAUGCAUGUGAUUGCUCGCCAUUGAGGAGGCCGCGACGCGCUUUGCUCGCGUCCCUCCGCGCGAUCUGCUCGUCGUUUAGGCGCCGAGCCGCGCUCGGGUCACGUCCCUCCACGCGCUCUGCUCACCGUUUAGGUGCCGAGGCACGCUCAGGUCACGUCCCUCCGCGCGCUCUGCUCUUGCGCCCCUUCACGCGUGACCUGCCAGCGGUCGGGGCCGGCGCACGAUCAUGUUGGGGAAGCUUUAGUUAUUUGAUCUCAGCUGGACACGGGGAACGGGCGAUGGAGAUCAUAGAUUAGGUUAAUUAAUUAUACCUCCAGAGUCAGAUGAUCACUAUGUGCUCAUCCGGCUCGGAAGGUAUAAUUAGUUAACCUAAACUAUGAUCUCCGGCGCCCAUUCUCGUCGCGCAACUCCAUCCUGUCAUCGGCCGAUGGGAGUAUGCCGGUAUGUGUAGGUAACUAGCAAGAAAGUGGAUUAGUAGCGAGUCGCCGCCACCGGCCAUUGUUGUGGUUAUUUAUAGUUAGCAACUGGCUAGAGGAUUGGGGAGUUUACAAUUCACCCUUGUGGAGCGCGGGGAGCCUUCGCUGGAGCGCGGGAAGACUAAGUGGAGCAGACAAUCGUAUGCGGUGUCACGUGUUAUCACACACAUGUUAACAUAAGGAAACGUAUGUGUAACUUACUAAUCAUCGCACACGAGUACUCGCACCACGCAUCGUGUGUGAUACUCCUAGCCAUCGCAAUCAACUCGUUUGCAUUCUCAAUUUUUUUUCUACACACAUAGUCGCACGUGAAAUAACUGCAAUAACUGUUUGUGUUAUAUUUUCUCAUCGCAAACAGUUCAUCCGAGUGGCCUGUUUGUCGUGUAUCACACACAUCUUGUUUAAAUGAAUCGUUUGUGUUCUUUUGGCUAAUCGCAACUAGUUCAUCCGUGUGAAGUGUAUGCCGUCUAUCGCAUAUACCUUGAUCUGGCUGACCAUUUCUGUUGUGUUGCCUAAUCGAAAACAAUUCAUCCGAGUGAAUUGUAUGACGUAUAUCGCACACACACUUUAAUAUGGCUAACCGUUUAUGUUGUGUUCCCUAAUCGCAAACAGUUCAUCCGAGUGAAUUGUAUGCCGUAUAUGGCACACACCUUGAUAUGGCUGCCCGUUUCUGUUGUUCUGACUCAUCGCAAACAGUUCAUAUGGAUCGACUGCAUGCCACGCAUCACACACACAACUAUAAUAUAAAUCGUCUUUGAUCUCCGCCAUCGCAAACGUUUCGUAUCAUUUUUGACGGUUUUAUUACAUCACCGUUUCUGAUUAAUGCACCGCACACAGUUUCGUCGAAGGGUCUCUGAUUGUAGUGUCGUGUUAGCAGCAUCCUGCAAUAGUGACCACAAGAAGUUGUAGAUGCUUUUACUGCUCGUAAUGAUGAUUAUGAGUCAGUCUAGUGCCUCAUGUUGACUUGCAUGGAUCCUAAACUACAUAAGCGUUUAGAACGAUCAAGUACUCAAUUUAUAGUUGGGUCACUGGAUGCUCUGUACAAGAAGCAGGCAAGGACUAUACGUUUUGAAAUAACCAAGGCCUUGAUUGAAUGCAAGAUGGCAAAAGGUUCCUCAAUGAGUGAGAUAUAGUGAAGCUGGUUGGCUAUGUUGAUAGGCUUGCUACUUUGGAAUUUGGAAUUCCUCCAACUCUCGGUAGAGAUAUUGUGCUUGCUUCACUCCCCCCAUCUUACGAUGGUUUUAUCAUGAAUUACAACAUGAAUGGGAUGGAGAAAAGCGCAAACAAGUUGUUCGCUAUGCUCAACACUGCAGAGGCUAGAAUGCAGAAGAACAAACAAGUGUUGAAGGUCAAUAAGACCGCCAGUUUCAAGAAGGGCAAGUCCAAGAAGAAAUCUUCAGGAGCCGGUAAGAUUGUGUCACAGAAGAGAAACAAGGGCCGAGCUACUAAGGAGACUGAAUGUUUCUACUACAAGCAGAAUGGACACUGGAAGUGCAACUGCAAGAAAUACUUGGCGGAUAAGAAGAAGAACGGUUCUUCUGGUAAAGGUAUAAAAGUUAUACAAAGUUAACGUUAUACUACUUAUUAAAUUAUGUAAUUCAAGAGUAUUUGAUAUGAUCGGUUGCUUUUAUUUGCAAACCGUCACAGGGACUACAGAAAGCUCGCAAGUUGAGAAGGAAUGAAGUCGUGAUGCAAGUCGAGAGUGAUGAUUGGAUCACUGCUCAUGCCGUCAAAAGCCAUAUCUUUACUUUAUCUUCAAGAUUAUCCUAGAACCGAAUAAUAGUUAUUUCAGUCAUAAGUUAUGUGAGGCAUUAUCUUUUGGGUUAUGCGAUGGAUAUUCUUAUAAGUUUUAAACAAUGGUUGUUCAAAGUUAUUAUGAGAACGUAUAUUUUGGAUUUACCUCUAUUUUGUUAGUGGUUUUAUUCACUAUGGAUCUUGAAGAAUAUUUAUGACAUUAAUGCUAAACGUCUUAAGAAGACUGAUAAAACUACUUAAUUGUGGCACCACAGUGUUGGUCAUAUCGAAAGAAUUGUAUGGGAAACUUCAUUGAGACGAAGUAUUAGAGUUCCUAAUUAUUGAAUCAUUUGACACAUACAAGAAUUCUUCAAUGAAUCAAAUGACUAAUAUAUAUUGCUCAAAAUUGUUUUGAUCAGAAGGGUAAAUCAUUGGAAUAACACAUGGUAAUGUAUACAAUUUAGUGAUCAUACUAGGGCGCGGUGAAUAUUUAUACUUCAUAAAAUUCACUAAUGACUUGAGUAGAUAAGAUUUACUUGAAGAUCUAAAAUGUUUGAAGUGUUCAAAAGGAAUUUACAAUGAAGUUAAGGAUCAUCAUGACAGAAGAUAAAUAGUUAUCAAAGUCAUGAUUUUAGCAAAUAAAUGAGUAUGAGUUGUUUCCUAAUUUACCGAUCCACUUGUAAUUAUUCUGGGGUUAUGCAUGCAAACGACAAUAUAUACACUAAAAUGAAGCACCAUCUAAAUGUCUGGCAUAACUACACCAUAUGAGUUAUGGAGUAAACAAUCUAGAUGAAUACUAUCCCGUAGAUUAUCCCUCUUACAAAAAUUCGGAGACAAAAGAGUUUGUCGCAGAAAAUGGACACCUUCUCGAGAAGAGCUUCUCGCUAAAGGAGUAAGUGGGAGGACAAUACUGCCUAACAAGAUUACAGAAUCUUCGGUGGAUAUAAACAGAACUAAACGGAAUAUAUUCCGAGAAUUUUCUAUUCAAAUUGAUCCAGGAAAAAGGGUUAUUACACUAGCUAUAAAAACUUCGAGUUAAGGCUGUGAAGCUGCAUACGAAAGAAGAAGUUCAUCUUAGUGGUAGAUAAACAUGCGCACUACAUGGAAACGAUGGCGGCACCCAGCUCAUAACGAUGACUCAAAGCUAAAUAAUCCAAAAUGAAUUUCAUCAAGUUUGGAACUUGAUUGAUUAUUCAUGGAACAGACACUAAUGGUGUUUAUAUUGUCCAUAAAGCAAGGUUAGUUGCAAAAGAAUUUUGCGAGGGCGUGAGAAUUUAUUAUAUGAAUCAUUUUUCACCAAAUGCAAUAUAAAAGUCUAUACGGAUAAUGAUAGCAACUACGUUGGUAAAAGAUUAUAAGCUUAAGUCUAUAGUUUGAAGCAGGCAUCAAAAGGAGCUGGAAUUAACAUUUUGAUGAAAUGGUUAAAUAAGUUUUAACUUCAUUAGAAUGUUGAGACUUGCGAAAUUUUGUGGGAGUUGUAUGACAUUUCUAAAAUCUAAUAUGUGGAUGGCAUAUUGUUGGAAAUAAUAUAGUUUCUUAACACAAUAAAAGGCUUCAUCAAAAGGUGUAUUUUGAUGAAAUACUUAGGUAAAAUAGCUUAUUGGACAUCAAGUUCUAUGAAGAUAAAUCUAUAUAUCCAAUUGUGCUAAAACCUGAGUAUGUGCAUUCACAAGGUUUCAAAGAAGUUUGAAAAGGAGAAUGGUGAAAGGAUUUCCUCCCAAUUGUCACAUGGUGUAAUACCAAGCAAAUCAAUGUCCUAGGACAGUUGAUGAGCUUACGUAGAUGAUUGGAGUUCAAAAUACAUAGUUGAAUCCAUCAUCCGAGAACCAUGAUAUGUGCAAAGGUAAGAGUUUCUUAGAGAGUGGCGUUUUGGCACAUGGGAGCGCGUGCUCCUGGCGUUUUGGCACAUGGGAGCGCGUGCUCCUGGUUUUUUAAAAAUAUUUUAAAAUGUCAAAAAAUCAAACAAAAAUUUAGCACGUACAUCUCGAUAUUGUACAUGCUCACAAAGUCGUUUGGCGAAAAACCGACAACGUAUGUGCCGCGUGUGAAAAAGACAAAAAUCUGGUGUUAAAAAAUGCUUUUCACAAGACAUCCUUUUGUCUUUUUUACACAAGCCACAAAAAGGGUCGGUUUUCUUCGAAACUUGACGUGCACACAUAUAAUGUCGAGAUGUAUGCGUCAAAUAUUUGUUUGAAGUUAUUUCACACUUUAAAAUAUUUUUUCGCGUGUAGGAGCGCGCGCUCCUGGGAGCACCAACGGAUUUCGAGGGAGGUACUUAAUAAUUUUAGUAGUUUUGGGAUGGAUCACUGAGCAGCUAAUAAAAUUAUUAAGUACCUCAGAAGGACAAAAGAACAUGUUUUGUCUACAGAGGAGAUGAAGAGAUUGUUGUACGAACAAAACAUCUUCAUGACUAUUAAAAUUAUUAAGUACCUCAGAAGGACAAAGGGCCAUAUUUUGUCUAUAGAGGAGAUGAAGAGAUUGUUGUACAAACAGAACAUCUUCAUCACUGUUUUAGAUGACUAUCGGGCUACACUAGAAUAAUGGUUUUGAAUUACUUCAAAACAUGGUAUUGUGGAUAAUAUAGCGAUAGAAUAUGUUGAGGCUUAAAGAUGCUUCAAAGUAGAAUAUUUGGAUCAAAAAGUGUCUUGAGAGAAAUAGGAUUAUAAUAUAUGUCUAAAACAAGAAAUGUCUUGAUAGAGAUAAAAUGAGAAUAUCUAGAUCAAGAAGUGACUUGCUAUAGAUUUGAUGAUCCUGAAUGCGAUAAAACUGAUGUCAUUAGAUUAUGAAUAAUAGGGUCAAUAGUCAAAGCAAAAGGAAGUUUUUAAACAGACAUAACAAAAGAAAGUUUCACAAAAGGAUCUGUAUGUAACAGAACCAUUGACGAAGGCUAUGCCACAAGCAAAAGCAUGAGAUAACAUCAGACAGCCAUUGGUGUUAAAAAUAGCAUGCAACUAGAUUAUUGACUCUAGUGCAAGUGGGAAUCUGUUGGAAGUAUACCCUAGAGGCAAUAAUAUUGUAUUAUUAUAUUUUCGGGUUCAUAAUUUAGAGUCUAUAUUCUAUGUUAUAAAUGUUAUGAUCCUGAAAUAUGCGAUUUAGUGGAAAACUCAUAUGCACGUGUAGAACGAUAAACGGUAAAAUAAGGUUCAUAGUCUCGCCUCUAAGACUAGCUCAAGUGUUGUUGGUGAUCACAUUUUUCGGAUCUUGAGAUAUCGUUAAGUGUAACGAUAGUCUCAAAAUAACAUUGGGAAUAUGAGUUAGAAGAACGAUCAUAUUGAAUCGACCCAAAUAUUUGUUUGUUAUACUUUGAGAUAAUAUCGUCAUAAGUCAAUUGCUAUAAAAUAGAGUGUUAACUUGCAUUUUAGUUCCUUAGACCAUGAGAGUAUCGUAGUCACCUCUUGUCAUACGAUGAGCUUUGGGGUUCCUCAAACGUCAUCAGUAACUUGGUGAUCAUAAUGACAACUUACAGGUUCAUCGGAAAGUUUGACAAAGGACACGGUCGCUCGACAGUGGAAUUAAUUUGCUCCUCCGACAAUGGAGAGAUAUUCUUAGGGCCCUCUCGGUGUGACGGCAUCCAUCAUUGUUUGGCCAGACAUAGGUGACUUCAUCACGGGGAUGCCGAAACACAAGAGCGAGAAAGAAGAACAAAACUAGCAACGAGGAGACCGGUAGAGUGAGCAUGUGUAUGACUCAAGAGGAUACCGAUAUAUCUCGCCUCGGGUUUUGUAAAGUAUCAUGAAGCAAAGGGAACAUCACAUGAUAAACAAAGGUUCUCUCGAAUGUCAUUCGUGUAAUCAUAGGGAUCGAUAUGGACAUACACGGUUCCGCUAUCGAUCAUUGAACCAAGGGGUUUUGUUCAUGUCUAUGAUUUACCAAACCUACAGGGUCACAAGCUUAAGGUAAUCAUGAUCUGUUGAGUGUUAGUUGGAUGGGAGUAUUGAGGAUUUAUUUAUGAAACAGUUUCAUUAAUAUUCAGAAUAGUUCCAAGAGGAACCGAAAGCGUUUCGUGGUCACCGGAAGGGUUUCCGAGUUUACCGGACAAUACCAGGUAUUACAGCUAAUUAAUAUAUAGGUGUUAAAAAAUGGUGAUGUUAAAUUAUAUAUGAUUUGCUCUAGUAAUUUGUAGGGGCUUUUAUAAUUAAUUUAAUAUCAACGGGCCUAAAAAGGCCAAGUGGUGGAGGAAGAAUUGGGCCACCAAGGCCCAAUAGGGGAGGCGCCCCCUCUUUCCCUAUAGGGGGGCAAUUGGGGUGGGGAAGGAUUCCUCCCGCCCCCUUGGCCGACGCAAGGGGAGGGGAAUCCCCCCCCCCCUGUGGCGCCCCCUCCUCCCCUCCAGCCUAUAUAUACUUGAGGUAUUGAGCUCUUUUGACAUACAAGUUUUAGGUGUCUCCUCUAGCCCAAUACUACUAGUUCUAAUUAGGAUAAUUAGAGUUAGUUAUAGUUCCUCUAAUCCUCAUAAUUAGAAGCCCCGAGUGGCUCUAAUAUUAUCCUCUAAUUCUUCGGCGGCGGUUAGUUCUGGACGGCGAAGCACUGCUAGAUCAUGAGGACCGUACACUUGCAAAUUGUAGAGAGGUCAUGCUUUCGGUCUUCGGUUUGAGGGAUAGUUCGUGGGCGGUUCGCGAGAUCGUUCAUCGGCAGUAUGAGGGACUCCAAGUACAAUCUACACCGACCCGUCUGCUUCUGCUACAUACUCGGAGUUGGUAACGAUCAUGAUCCAAUCCCCUAAUGCAUCUUCGUAUUGUUCCUGGGUGUUCGUAGGUUGAUUUUUUUGUUUUCUACUAUGUUUCCCAACACCCACAUGGACCGAGGGGUGGGGCUAUAGCCCACACGGGCUGGCCACACCAGCCCCCAAGGCCCAUCCCGUUUAAAUCUAGAGAUAAGGUCUUAUCUCUAAAUUUAAAGGGUUGAAUCUAGAGAUAAGAUGUUAUCUACAAAUUUAAAGGGAUUUCUCCCAUCUGGCCGGCCCUAGGAGGGUUUUGGCCACCUUCCCCUGCCCCCUAGUCUAUAUAAAGAGAUGGGAGGCACAUGGGGCAGCAACCCUUCGACCCUUGGCCGUCGUCUCUCCCAACUCCUCCCAUCUCCUCACGCAGACACUUGGCAAAGCCCUGCUGUAGUUUCGUUGCCGCCGUCACCACCACCACGCCGUCGUGCUGGCCUAGAUCCCAUCUACCUCUGCACCCUCCCUUGUUGGAUUAGGAAGGGGGAGACAUCACCGAGUCGUGCACAUCUUGGAGGUGUCGUUCGUUUGACGCUGGAUCAGAUUGGAUCGCGGAGGGAGUACGAUAAGCCAACCAUGAUCUUUAGAUCGUUAGCACUUUUGGUCUACAAGGGUAUGUAGACACUCCCCCUAUCGUUUCUAGCAUCUCCAUAUAAUAGAUCUUGGGUAAUUCUAGGAAAAAAAUGUUUUCCAUGCGACGUUCCCCAUCACCCGUGUGGGUGAUGAUUUCUUGCAUGGGCUCCGGAAAAAGUGGCAAGUUCUCUGUGCGUAGUGCAUACAAAUUGGCCAACGAUGAUCAAGCAAAUUAUGCAUCGGCGUCAACUAGAAGCAGACCAGAUGGAAGCAGGGAUGGAUGGAAGGAGAUUUGGCGCUGCUUGGUGCUUGGUGCCCCCAAAGGUCCAGUCCUUUGCAUGGCGUUUUGCCUCGAUUCAUUAGCUACGUGGGCAAACAUAGUUAAGCGAGCAUCGAAAGUAUCAGAAACUUACCCGGUGUGUGGACGUGAGGAGGAAGACACUUAUCAUGUGUUCUGUUCAUGCAAUCAUGCAGUUCGUCUUUGGGAAGCUAUCUCCGCAGAGUGGCACUUGCCCAAACUAAAAAACAUAAAGCAUAUAGGGAGUGACUGAUUGUUCAAUCUACUGGCCAAUACAAAUGAGGAAUUGAGAUGUCAUUUGUUAAUGUUGUUCUGGAGGAUUUGGUACUUACGAAAUGAGAUAGUGCAUUCAAAACCUCCGCCGCCUAUUGAUGUCUCUAUUCAGUUUUUAUCAAGCUAUCUAGCCUCACUACAAGCCCUACAAAUUCCUAUGGACCCAGUUAAGGGUAAGUAUGUGCUUCAUAUGGAUUACCAGAAACUAUCCACUCAAAUAGAAGGCCCUGACUCAUGGACUAAACCUGCUACGGGUCGAGUAAAGGUUAAUACAAACAGGUAUUUUUUGGAUGGAAAUGGAGGUGCUGGCAUGAUCCUUAGGGAUCAGGAAGGAUCAAUCAUUCUUAUUUCCUGCAGACACUUGUACACUUGCAUGGAUGCGCUAGAGGCAAAACUACUUGCUAUAAAGGAAGAAAUUCCCUUAGCCUUGUAAUGGAGGAAAGAAAUGCAAAUAGAUUCAAGUAUGCACUCAUUGUUAGAGAGAUUGUUCUUAGUAUUGGGGGUGGGGGGGAUUCUUGUAUUCCUCAUACUCGUUGGAGUUGUAAGAUUUGUCUAGGCUCUGGCCCAGAAGAGGUCCUGGAAAUUGUUAGACGAGAUUGUAAGAUUUCAGUAACAUAAGAAUUAUUUCGCAAAAAAAUAAAUCUAUUUGAAAACAUGUUAAAUUUGUAUAGAAAAAAUGUUGACCAUGCAUUUAGAAAUUAUUAAACUUGCAUUUAAAAAUGGUAAAUGUGUAUAAUAAAAAUGUUGACCAUGUGUUGAAAAAAUGUUAAACUUGUAUUUGAAUAAUGUUAAAUUUGUACAGAAAUAAUGUUGACCAUGUAUUCAAAAAAUGCUAAACUUAUACUUAAAAAAAUUAAAUGUGUAUAGAAAAAAUGUUGACCAUGUUUAAAAAAAAUGUUAAACUAGUAUUUGAGAAAGUUAAAUGUGUAUAGAAACCAUGUAUUGAAAGUUCAAAUCAAUGAACUAUAUUCAGAUUGAUGAACCUUUUUUCAAAUUGGUGAACAAUUUUCGACAUCGAUGAACUUUUUUUUUCAAUCGAUAAACUUUUUGUCAAGUUUGAUGAACUGUUUUUCAAGUUCGAUAAACUAUUUUUCAAAGUUUGAUGAACUUUUUUCAAAGUCAAUGAACAUUUUCCAAAGUCGAUGAACAUUUUUUCAAAUGUGGGAACUGUUUUUGAAGACCGAUGAACUUUUUAAAAUUUAUGAACUUUUCUAAAAAAUUGAUGAACUUUUUUGAAUAAAUGAACUUUUUUCUAAUUCGUGCUUUUUUUGAAUAAAUGAACUUUUUCCUAAUUCGUGAUUGUUUUUGAAUAAAUGAAAAAAACUGAAUAAUAAUCAUGUUUUUUCUAAAAUGUGUGUGCAAGAAAUAGCGCGGGUACAAUUUUUUUGAGACAAUCUCGCGAAGCUUUUAUUUAACUCGUCACAAUGUUUACAGGGACGAAAGAAAGAUUACCUGGGUUGCCUAACCACACACGGCGGCCAACACCAAGUGAGAGAGCAUGCUUCGCUAAAUUGUGAGCCUCGACAUUCGAGCUCCUAAACUCAUGGCUAAAAAAGCAGGUAACAAAAUGCUUAGAUCGAUCUGCAAUCUCCCUAAUGAUAGCUCCAUAUGCCACUGCACUCCUUUGCCCAAUAUCAUCAACCACCACUUUGCAUUAUGAGGCCACUGAAAUCCUGCGUUCAUAAAGAUCAUCCGCCAAAGCUAGUGAUUCCUGUACUGCCAAAGCCUCUAGCGUCGUAGGAUCAUCUAGGCCAUGGAAGGUGAUCGUGGACGCGCCCAAGAAAACCCCAUGCCUGUCCCUACACACUGCUGCGACAGCACCAACCGACCUGGUCCUCAUAAGUGCAGCAUCAACAUUAAUCUUGCAAGUGCCUUCUCUUGGUGGUAUCCACUUGUCCGGGCGUGGCCGCAUCACCCUGGGCUGCCCUUGUGGUUUGGCUAGCACCUGAAGAUCGCUAAUGAAAGCGGCAACGAAUGCGUUCAUUGCAUAUGGCGUUUGGUGUACCCCCUUCAUGGAUCAGUUUCCUCCUAGAACUCCAGAUUGCCCACAACGUGACUCCAAGUCUGGUAAAGUCCGCAUGUGAUAAUGUGUUUUUCAGAGAAAACAGCCAUACUUUUGCGCUUGCGUUGUCACAUGUGCUCAUCUGCUCGACAAGGAGAUCAGGUGCCAAGGACCAGACGCUCCUCGACGUUGCGCAUUCGAGCAAGGCAUGCCUCCAGGAGUCCGCCACCCCGCACAUCUGGCAUGCUGGCGAGGUAGCCAUGUUGCGGUGGUGGAGGAUAUCAUAUGUAGGUAUAGACUCCCUCGCCAAACGCCACAGAAACACACAAAUCUUGUUCGGGACUUGUGUCUGCCAGAGAGAGGACCAACUACUGCUAUCCUCGGUGCAAGAGGGACCCUCGGUGCCAUAUAGCCAGUUCUCGCGGCUGAGCUUGGUGUUUUGUAUCAUAUGAUAUGCUGAUCUGACCGUAAAAUUACCUCAAUUUUCUCUGCUCUAAGCCAGAAAUCUUCCACUCUCCUUGUGCACAAAGGAAUCUUUAGUAUGGCCUCGACAUCUAUAGGGAUGAAUACAGAACGGACCAACUCCACUUUCCAAGUGGACGUUGUCUCGUCUAUGAGUUCAUGCACUCAGGUGGGGGGGACCAUAGAUUAGAUUGGCCUUGGAAAAUCUUGCCUCGGGAUCCAGUUGUGUUCCUAGAUCAGCGUGUUCUCUCCUGUCCCGAUUCUUCUAAUGACUCCUUGCUUCAUUAUAUCCCUUCCAUCAAUGAUAGCCCGCCAAAUCUGUGAAGGGUGUGCUCCCAACUCGGCCUCCAACAGGCCUGUCUCAGGUAAAUAUGCAACUUUCAGGAUUAAUGAGCUCAGAGUGUUUGGAUUGUUUAGCACUCUCCAUGCUUGCCUAGCCAAUAAAGCGAGGUUAAAAAAUCUCAAGAUCGCAGAAGCCCAAACCUCCCAUGUAUUUUGGCCUCGUCAUGAUCUCCCAUGAUACCCACGCUGGUUUCCGUUUGCCAUGCUUACUGCCCCACCAGAACUGUCUUAUGAUGGAUGUAAUAUUGUCACAUAAACCUCUCGGCAGCCUAAAAUAAGCCAUAGAGUAAACCGGAAUUGCCUGAGCAAUAGAUUUGAUUAGUACCUCCUUUCCUGCUGAAGAUAAUAGCUUCUCCAUCCAGCCCUUAACCUUCUCCCACACCCGGUCUCGAAGGUACUUGAAUGUGCCGUUUUAGAGCGACCCACAUCUGUUGGCAUGCCCAGAUAUUUGUCACUCAAAGAUUCUCUAUGGACUUGAACAACAAUUUUCACACUAUCAUGGGUGGUCUGAAGGCACCCUUUACUGAAGAAAAUAGUGGACUUGUCAUUAUUAACUCUUUGACCAGAAGCACCACAAUAAGCAUCCAAUAGGUUUGACACCGCAUUCGCCCCCUCAACACUUGCUUUGAAAAACAACAGGCUGCCAUCUGCAAACAAGAUGUGGUUUACAGCCGGGGCUGUUGGCGCCACCUUGAUUCCUUCUAGCACCGAUGAUUGAGAACUGGAUUUAAAAGGCACAAAAGGCCCUCCGCUCCAAUCAGAAACAAGUAAGGGGAAAUAGGGUCUCCCUGUCGAAUACCUCUCGAAGGGUUGAACUAUUCUAGUUUCUCUCCAUUGAAAAGAACUGAUAAAGGCACUAAAGAUACCAUGUUCAUCAUUGUGUCAAUCCAUGGUUGUGAAAAUCCCAACUUGGACAUUAUAGCCCUCAGAUAUGGCCACUCUAGGCGAUCAUAUGCUUUCAUCAUAUCGAGCUUUAGGGCACAUGUGCUGUUAACUUUUGCUCUGGAUCUCUUCAUGAAAUGCAGACACUCGUAAGCACAAAUGGUGUUGUCUGUUAUUAGCCUGCCUGGGACAAAGGCUGACUGUUACUCAGAGAUAAUGUCAGGAAGUAUUUGCUUAAGUCUAUUAGCCACAACAUUAGAAGCAAUCUUGUAUAGGACGUUGCAUAAACUUAUGGGUCGGAAUUGAGAAAGAAGAGUUGGAUUCAUUACCUUUGGUAUUAACACCAAAACAGUAUCAUUAAUGCUCUCCGCACUCUCCUCCCUCUGACAAUUCUGAGGACAGCUCGUGUGAUCUCAUCUCCGCAUAACGGCCAGUGUCUUUGGUAAAAGUGAGCCGGGAAGCCAUCUGGUCCUGGUGCCUUCGUCGGGAACAUUUGGAAGAGAGCCACCUUCACCUCUUCAUUUGUGUAUGGAGUACAUAAGAUAUCGUUCAUGCCCGCUGUCACCUUAACUGGAACAUGCGCCAUAACCUCUUCAAGUCUCGUAACUCCUUCAGAUGUGUUUAGCGUCUUGUAAAAGUCAUUAACCAUCUCCUUGAGCUCUCCUGGAUCCUCAAUGAGCGCUCCCAGCGAAUUUGCUAAGGCCUUCACCAUGUUUUUCUUGCGCCUGAUACUCGCUCUGAGAUGAAAAACCGAGUAUUCUUAUCUCCUGCAGCGAGCCACUCGAUCCUAGAUCUCUGUCGCCACAUCAAUUCCUCCCGGUGAUACAGCUCCACGAGUUUAUCAUUGAUUUUUGUCUCCACGUGUGAAGGCCCAGUCCUCCCGGCGUCACCCCUUAGCCGGUCCAACUCUAUUUUUAGGGCACGAAUCUCUUUGCGUACACUGCCAAAAGUGUCCUUGUUCCACCUCGACAGAUCAGUUUCUAGUUCCGUUAGCUUGCGCCGGAUCUCCUCUACUGUGUGUCCGGGAUGUUUGGAACUCCAUUUUUCCAGGAUUGUGUCCUUCCAAUGCUCAUGCGUUUCCCACAUAGUUUCAUACCUGAAACCUUUGCGUCCCUUAGGCGCAUUGGGCUCAUUUAUUUCCAACAAGAUUGGACAAUGAUCUGAUGUAGCAGCUGUCAGAUGGGACAAACUCGCUAGAGGAAACUGAGCGCUCCACUCGGCCGAUCUAAGAGCCCUAUCCAGUCUAACUCGGGUGAAAGUGACACCUGCCACCUUCUUCUCAAAUGUCCAAAAGCGGCCUCUAUACCCCAAAUCCAUCGACAUGCACGCGUCGAUGAUGUCUCGAAAACCCUGGAUCUGAGCAUUGCUACGCUGCCCCACACCCUCGUGCUCGUCCGGACGCAGGACUUCAUUAAAAUCGCCUAUGCACAACCACGGCAGUGUGCUUGUACUGCUUAUGUUUUUUAGCACAGUCCAUGUUUGAUGCCUCAGAUGUGUUUGCGCUUCCCCGUACACACAUGUCAACCGCCAAGGAUCCUUCCCGGGGUCAAGAAAUGAGCAAUCAAUAUGGUAAACAGAAUAACCCAGAAUCUCAACUUUUAUUGGAUUGUUCCAAAAAAUUCCAAUGCCACCACUCCUUCCUUGAGUAUCUAUAGCAAAACUAUUAUCAUAAUCCAACGUUCCAGCAAGUGAUUCUACCCUACCUCUCUCAAUCUGAGUUUCUACAAUACAGAGAAUAGGGGGGGCAAACUUCUUCGCUACCUCACGAAGCUCGUUAACUGUCGCUGCAUUUCCCACACCACGACAGUUCCAGCAUAGGGUAUUCAUUGAUCCCGUCGACCCUCCAAGUUGGAGGACGCUGAUAUGUUCUCUUCAAACUUGGACACCAACGAGACCUUUGGAGCAGUCUCUGCACAUGCAACAGUCUUGGCCCUCUUGGGUUCCUGUUUGGAGCUCGGGCUGACCGCCAGAGGUGGAGCUAAGAGCAGAAGAGUCCCCGCCGUCGUACUCGGUCCUGCAUGCGCCACCUGCGCCUGGGGGUUUGAGGUUUGGUUCUUGUCAACAACGUCGCCCUUGGUGCGCUUGCGGCUAUCAUUGAAGGAAAUAUGCCCUAGAGGCAAUAAUAAAGUUAUUAUUUAUUUCCUUAUUUCAUGAUAAAUGUUUAUCAUUCAUGCUAGAAUUGUAUUAACCGGAAACAUAAUACUUGUGUGAAUACAUAGACAAACAGAGUGUCACUAGUAUGCCUCUACUUGACUAGCUCGUUGAUCAAAGAUGGUUAUGUUUCCUAUCACAUCAUUAGGAGAAUGAUGUGAUUGACUUGACCCAUUCCGUUAGCUUAGCACUCGAUCGCUUAGUAUUCUGCUAUUGCUUUCUUCAUGACUUAUACAUGUUCCUAUGACUAUGAGAUUAUGCAACUCCCGUUUAUCGGAGGAACACUUUGUGUGCUACCAAACGUCACAACGUAACUGGGUGAUUAUAAAGGUGCUCUACAGGUGUCUCCGAAGGUACUUGUUGGGUUGGCGUAUUUCGACAUUAGGAUUUGUCACUCCGAUUGUCGGAGAGGUAUCUCUGGGCCCACUCGGUAAUGCACAUCACUAUAAGCCUUGCAAGCAUUGUAACUAAUGAGUUAGUUGCGGGAUGAUGUAUUACGGAACGAGUAAAGAGACUUGUCGGUAACGAGAUUGAACUAGGUAUUGAGAUACCGACGAUCGAAUCUCGGGCAAGUAACAUACCGAUGACAAAGGGAACAACGUAUGUUGUUAUGCGGUUUGACCGAUAAAGAUCUUCGUAGAAUAUGUGGGAGCCAAUAUGAGCAUCCAGGUUCCGCUAUUGGUUAUUGACCGGAGACGUGUCUCGGUCAUGUCUACAUAGUUCUCGAACCCGUAGGGUCCGCACGAUUAAAGUUUGAUGACGGUUAUAUUAUGAUUUUAUGUGUUUUGAUGUACCGAAGAUAAUUCGGAGUCCCGGAUGUGAUCACGGACAUGACGAGGAGUCUCGAAAUGGUCGAGACAUAAAGAUUGAUAUAUUGGAAGCCUAUAUUUGGAUAUCGGAAGUGUUCCGGGUGAAAUCGGGAUUUUACCGGAGUACCGGGGGUUACCGGAACCCCCCUGGGGGUUUAAUGGGCCUACAUGGGCCUUAGUGGAGAAGAGGAGGGGCGGCCAGGGCAGGCCGCGCGCCCCCUCCCCCUCUAGUCCGAAUUGGACAAGGAGGGGGGCGGCGCCCCCCUUUCCUUCCUCUCUCCCUCCUCCUUCCCCCUUCUCCUACUCCAACUAGGAAAGGAGGGAGUCCUACUCCCGGUGGGAGUAGGACUCGUCCUGGCGCGCCUCCUCCUGGCCGGCCGCCUCUCCCUCCCUUGAUCCUUUAUAUACAGGGGCAAGGGGGCACCACAUAGACACGACAACUGAUCUCUUAAUCUCUUAGCCGUGUGCGGUGCCCCCCUCCACCAUAAUCCACCUCGAUAAUAUCGUAGCGAUGCUUAGGCGAAGCCCUGCGUCGGUAGAACAUCAUCAUCAUCACCACACCGUCGUGCUGAUGGAACUCUCCCUCAAAGCUCGGCUGGAUCGGAGUUCGAGGGACGUCAUCGAGCUGAACGUGUGCUGAACUCGGAGGUGUCGUGCGUUCGGUACUUGAUCAGUCGGAUCGUGAAGACGUACGACUACAUCAACCGCGUUGUGCUAACGCUUCCGCUUUCGGUCUACGAGGGUACGUGGACAACACUCUCCCCUCUCGUUGCUAUGCAUCACCAUGAUCUUGCGUGUGCGUAGGAAUUUUUUUGAAAUUACUACGUUCCCCAACAGUGGCAUCCGAGCCUGGUUUUAUGCGUAGAUGUUAUAUGCACGAGUAGAACACAAGUGAGUUGUGGGCGAUAUAAGCCAUACUGCUUACCAACAUGUCAUACUUUGGUUCGGCGGUAUUGUUGGAUGAAGCGGCCCGGACCGACAUUACGCUUACGCUUACGCGAGACUGGUUCUACCGACGUGCUUUGCACACAGGUGGCUGGCGGGUGUCAGUUUCUCCAACUUUAGUUGAACCGAGUGUGGCUAUGCCCGGUCCUUGAGAAGGUUAAAACAGCACUAACUUGACAAACUAUCGUUGUGGUUUUGAUGCGUAGGUAAGAACGGUUCUUGCUCAGCCCGUAGCAGCCACGUAAAACUUGCAACAACAAGGUAGAGGGCGUCUAACUUGUUUUUGCAGGGCAUGUUGUGAUGUGAUAUGGUCAAGGCAUGAUGUUAAUUUUAUUGUAUGAGAUGAUCAUGUUUUGUAACCGAGUUAUCGGCAACUGGCAGGAGCCAUAUGGUUGUCGCUUUAUUGUAUGCAAUGCAAUCGCCCUGUAAUGCUUUACUUUAUCACUAAGCGGUAGCGAUAGUCGUAGAAGCAUAAGUUGGCGAGACGACAACGAUGCUACGAUGGAGAUCAAGGUGUCGCGCCGGUGACGAUGGUGAUCAUGACGGUGCUUCGAAGAUGGAGAUCACAAGCACAAGAUGAUGAUGGCCAUAUCAUAUCACUUAUAUUGAUUGCAUGUGAUAUUUAUCUUUUAUGCAUCUUAUCUUGCUUUGAUUGACGGUAGCAUUAUAAGAUGAUCUCUCACUAAAUUAUCAAGGUAUAAGUGUUCUCACUGAGUAUGCACCGUUGCGAAAGUUCUUCGUGCUGAGACACCACGUGAUGAUCGGGUGUGAUAGGCUCUACGUUCAAAUACAACGGGUGCAAAACAGUUGCACACGCGGAAUACUCAGGUUAAACUUGACGAGCCUAGCAUAUGCAGAUAUGGCCUCGGAACACUGAGACCGAAAGGUUGACCGUGAAUCAUAUAGUAGAUAUGAUCAACAUAGUGAUGUUCACCAUUGAAACUACUCCAUCUCACGUGAUGAUCGGACAUGGUUUAGUUGAUUUGGAUCACGUGAUCACUUAGAGGAUUAGAGGGAUGUCUAUCUAAGUGGGAGUUCUUAAGUAAUAUGAUUAAUUGAACUUAAAUUUAUCAUGAACUUAGUACCUGAUAGUAUUUUGCUUGUCUAUGUUGAUUGUAGAUAGAUGGCCCGUGCUGUUGUUCCGUUGAAUUUUAAUGCGUUCCUUGAGAAAGCAAAGUUGAAAGAUGAUGGUAGCAAUUACACGGACUGGGUCCGUAACUUGAGGAUUAUCCUCAUUGCUUCACAUAAGAAUUACGUCCUGGAAGCACCGCUAGGUGCCAGACCUGCUGCAGGAGCAACACCAGAUGUUAUGAACGUCUGGCAGAGCAAAGCUGAUGACUACUCGAUAGUUCAGUGUGCCAUGCUUUACGGCUUAGAACCGGGACUUCAACGACGUUUUGAACGUCAUGGAGCAUAUGAGAUGUUCCAGGAGUUGAAGUUAAUAUUUCAAGCAAAUGCCCCGAUUGAGAGAUAUGAAGUCUCCAAUAAGUUCUACGGCUGCAAGAUGGAGGAGAAUAGUUCUGUCAGUGAACAUAUACUCAGAAUGUCUGGGUAUAACAAUCACUUGAUUCAACUGGGAGUUAAUCUUCCGGAUGAUAGUGUCAUUGACAGAAUUCUUCAAUCACUGCCACCAAGCUACAAAAGCUUCGUGAUAAACUAUAAUAUGCAAGGGAUGGAUAAGACAAUUCCCGAGCUCUUCACAAUGCUAAAGGCUGUGGAGGUAGAAAUCAAGAAGGAGCAUCAAGUGUUGAUGGUCAACAAAACCACCAGUUUCAAGAAAAAGGCAAAGGGAAGAAGAAGGGGAACUUCAAGAAGAACAGCAAACAAGUUGCUGCUCAGGAGAAGAAACCCAAGUCUGGACCUAAGCAUGAGACUGAGUGCUUCUACUACAAACAGACUGGUCACUGGAAGCGGAACUGCCCCAAGUAUUUGGCGGAUAAGAAGGAUGGCAAGGUGAACAAAGGUAUAUGUGAUAUACAUGUUAUUGAUGUGUACCUUACUAAUGCUCGCAGUAGCACCUGGGUAUUUGAUACUGGUUCUGUUGCUAAUAUUUGCAACUCGAAACAGGGACUACGGAUUAAGCGAAGAUUGGCUAAGGGCGAGGUGACGAUGCGCGUGGGAAACGGUUCCAAAGUCGAUGCGAUCACGGUCGGCACGCUACCUCUACAUCUACCUUCGGGAUUAGUUUUAGACCUGAAUAAUUGUUAUUUGGUGCCAGCGUUGAGCAUGAACAUUAUAUCUGGAUCUUGUUUGAUGCGAGAUGGUUAUUCAUUUAAAUCAGAGAAUAAUGGUUGUUCUAUUUAUAUGAGUAAUAUCUUUUAUGGUCAUGCACCCUUGAAGAGUGGUCUAUUUUUGUUGAAUCUCGAUAGUAGUGAUACACGUAUUCAUAAUAUUGAAGCCAAAAGAUGCAGAGUUAAUAAUGAUAGUGUAACUUAUUUGUGGCACUGCCGUUUAGGUCAUAUUGGUGUAAAGCGCAUGAAGAAACUCCAUACUGAUGGACUUUUGGAACCACUUUAUUAUGAAUCACUUGGUACUUGCGAACCAUGCCUCAUGGGCAAGAUGACUAAAACGCCGUUCUCCGGAACUAUGGAGCGAGCAACAGAUUUGUUGGAAAUCAUACAUACAGAUGUAUGUGGUCCAAUGAAUGUUGAGGCUCGCGGCGGGUAUCGUUAUUUUCUCACCUUCACAGAUGAUUUAAGCAGAUAUGGGUAUAUCUACUUAAUGAAACAUAAGUCUGAAACAUUUGAAAAGUUCAAAGAAUUUCAGAGUGAAGUUGAAAAUCAUCGUAACAAGAAAAUAAAGUUUCUACGAUCUGAUCGUGGAGGAGAAUAUUUGAGUUACGAGUUUGGUCUACAUUUGAAACAAUGCGGAAUAGUUUCGCAACUCACGCCACCCGGAACACCACAGCGUAAUGGUGUGUCCGAACGUCGUAAUCGUACUUUACUAGAUAUGGUGCGAUCUAUGAUGUCUCUUACUGAUUUACCGCUAUCAUUUUGGGGUUAUGCUUUAGAGACGGCUGCAUUCACGUUAAAUAGGGCACCAUCGAAAUCCGUUGAGACGACGCCUUAUGAACUGUGGUUUGGCAAGAAACCAAAGUUGUCGUUUCUUAAAGUUUGGUGUUGCGAUGCUUAUGUGAAAAAGCUUCAACCUGAUAAGCUCAAACCCAAAUCGAAGAAAUGUGUCUUCAUAGGAUACCCAAAGGAAACUGUUGGGUACACCUUCUAUCACAGAUCUGAAGGCAAGACUUUUGUUGCUAAAUUUGGAUCCUUUCUAGAGAAGGAGUUUCUCUCGAAAGAAGUGAGUGGGAGGAAAGUAGAACUUGAUGAGGUAACUGUACCUGCUCCCUUAUUGGAAAGUAGUUCAUCACAGAAACCGGUUCUUGUGACACCUACACCAAUUAGUGAGGAAGUUAAUGAUGAUGAUCAUGAAACUUCAGAUCAAGUUGUUACUGAACCUCGUAGAUCAACCAGAGUGGUACGGUAAUCCUGUUCUGGAGGUUAUGUUACUAGACCAUGACGAACCUAUGAACUAUGAAGAAGCGAUGGUGAGCCCAGAUUCCGCAAAAUGGCUUGAGGCCAUGAAAUCUGAGAUGGGAUCCAUGUAUGAGAACAAAGUGUGGACUUUGGUUAACUUGCCUGAUGAUCGGCAAGCCAUUGAGAAUAAAUGGAUCUUCAAGAAGAAGACUGACGCUGACGGUAAUGUUACUGUCUAUAAAGCUUGACUUUUUGCAAAAGGUUUUCGACAAGUUCAAGGGAUUGACUACGACGAGACUUUCUCACCCGUAGCGAUGCUUAAGUCUGUCCAAAUCAUGUUAGGAAUUGCCGCAUUUUAUGAUUAUGAAAUUUGGCAAAUGGAUGUCAAAACUGCAUUCCUGAAUGGAUUUCUAGAAGAAGAGUUGUAUAUGAUGCAACCAGAAGGUUUUGUCGAUCCAAAGGGAGCUAACAAAGUGUGCAAGCUCCAUUGAUCCAUUUAUGGACUGGUGCAAGCCUCUCGGAGUUGGAAUAAACGCUUUCAAAGCAUUUGGUUUUAUACAGACUUUUGGAGAAGCCUGUAUUUACAAGAAAGUGAGUGGGAGCUCUGUAGCAUUUCUGAUAUUAUAUGUGGAUGACAUAUUGCUGAUUGGAAAUGAUAUAGAAUUUCUGGAUAGCAUAAAGGGAUACUUGAAUAAGAGUUUUUCAAUGAAGGACCUCGGUGAAGCUGCUUACAUAUUGGGCAUCAAGAUCUAUAGAGAUAGAUCAAGACGCUUAAUUGGACUUUCACAAAGCACAUACCUUGACAAAGUUUUGAAGAAGUUCAAAAUGGAUCAAGCAAAAAAAGGGUUCUUGCCUGUGUUACAAGGUGUGAAGUUGAGUAAGACUCAAUGCCCGACCACUGCAGAAGAUAGAGAGAAGAUGAAAGAUAUUCCCUAUGCUUCAGCCAUAGGCUCUAUCAUGUAUGCAAUGCUGUGUAGCAGACCUGAUGUGUGCCUUGCUAUAAGUUUAGCAGGGAGGUACCAAAGUAAUCCAUGAGUGGAUCACUGGACAGCGGUCAAGAAUAUCCUGAAAUACCUGAAAAGGACUAAGGAUAUGUUUCUCGUUUAUGGAGGUGACAAAGAGCUAGUCGUAAAUGGUUACGUCGAUGCAAGCUUUGACACUAAUCCGGACGAUUCUAAAUCGCAAACCGGAUACGUGUUUACAUUGAACGGUGGAGCUGUCAGUUGGUGCAGUUCUAAACAAAGCAUUGUGGCAGGAUCUACGUGUGAAGCGGAGUACAUAGUUGCUUCGGAAGCAGCAAAUGAAGGAGUCUGGAUGAAGGAGUUCAUAUCCGAUCUAGGUGUCAUACCUAGUGCAUCGGGUCCAAUGAAAAUCUUUUGUGACAAUACUGGUGCAAUUGCCUUGGUAAAGGAAUCCAGAUUUCACAAGAGAACCAAGCACAUCAAGAGACGCUUCAACUCCAUCCGGAAUCUAGUCCAGGUGGGAGACAUAGAAAUUUGCAAGAUACAUACGGAUCUGAAUGUUGCAGACCCGUUGACUAAGCCUCUUCCACGAGCAAAACAUGAUCAGCACCAAGGCUCCAUGGGUGUUAGAAUCAUUACUAUGCAAUCUAGAUUAUUGACUCUAGUGCAAGUGGGAGACUAAAGGAAAUAUGCCCUAGAGGAAAUAAUAAAGUUAUUAUUUAUUUCCUUAUAUCAUGAUAAAUGUUUAUUAUUCAUGCUAGAAUUGUAUUAACCGGAAACAUAAUACUUGUGUGAAUACAUAGACAAACAGAGUGUCACUAGUAUGCCUCUACUUGACUAGCUCGUUGAUCAAAGAUGGUUAUGUUUCCUAACCAUUGACAUGAGUUGUCAUUUGAUUAACGGGAUCACAUCAUUAGGAGAAUGAUGUGAUUGACUUGACCCAUUCUGUUAGCUUAGCACUCGAUCUUUUAGUAUUUUGCUAUUGCUUUCUUCAUGACUUAUACAUGUUCCUAUGACUAUGAGAUUAUGCAACUCCCGUUUACCGGAGGAACACUUUAUGUGCUACCAAACGUCACAACGUAACUGGGUGAUUAUAAAGGUGCUCUACAGGUGUCUCCGAAGGUACUUGUUGGGUUGGCGUAUUUCGACAUUAGGAUUUGUCACUCCGAUUGUCGGAGAGGUAUCUCUGGGCCCACUCGGUAAUGCACAUCACUAUAAGCCUUGCAAGCAUUGUAACUAAUGAGUUAGUUGCGGGAUGAUGUAUUACGGAACGAGUAAAGAGACUUGUCGGUAACGAGAUUGAACUAGGUAUUGAGAUACCGACGAUCGAAUCUCGGGCAAGUAACAUACCGAUGACAAAGGGAACAACGUAUGUUGUUAUGCGGUUUGACCGAUAAAGAUCUUCGUAGAAUAUGUGGGAGCCAAUAUGAGCAUCCAGGUUCCGCUAUUGGUUAUUGACCGGAGACGUGUCUCGGUCAUGUCUACAUAGUUCUCGAACCCGUAGGGUCCACACGCUUAAAGUUUGAUGACGGUUAUAUUAUGAGUUUAUGUGUUUUGAUGUACCGAAGAUAGUUCGAAGUCCCGGAUGUGAUCACGGACAUGACGAGGAGUCUCAAAAUAGUCGAGACAUAAGGAUUGAUAUAUUGGAAGCCUAUAUUUGGAUAUCGGAAGUGUUCCGGGUGAAAUCGGGAUUUUACCGGAGUACCCGGGGUUACCGGACCCCCCCCGGGGGUUUAAUGGGCCUACAUGGGCCUUAGUGGAGAAGAGGAGGGGCGGCAGGGCAGGCCGCGCGCCCCCUCCCCCUCUAGUCCGAAUUGGACAAGGAGGGGGGGCAGCGCCCCCCUUUCCUUCCUCUCUCCCUCCUCCUCCCCCCUUCUCCUACUCCAACUAGGAAAGGAGGGAGUCCUACUCCCGAUGGGAGUAGGACUCCUCCUGGCGCGCCUCCUCCUGGCCGGCCGCCUCUCCCUCCCUUGCUCCUUUAUAUACAGGGGCAAGGGGGCACCCCAUAGACACGACAACUGAUCUCUUGAUCUCUUAGCCGUGUGCGGUGCCCCCCUCCACCAUAAUCCACCUCGAUAAUAUCGUAGUGGUGCUUAGGCGAAGCCCUGCGUCGGUAGAACAUCAUCAUCGUCACCACGCCGUCGUGCUGACGGAACUCUCCCUCAAAGCUCGGCUGGAUCGGAGUUCGAGGGACGUCAUCGAGCUGAACGUGUGCUGAACUCGGAGGUGCCGUGCGUUCGGUACUUGAUCGGUCGGAUCGUGAAGACGUACGACUACAUCAACCGCGUUGUGCUAACACUUCCACUUUCGGUCUACGAGGGUACGUGGACAACACUCUCCCCUCUCGUUGCUAUGCAUCACCAUGAUCUUGCGUGUGCGUAGGAAUUUUUUUGAAAUUACUACGUUCCCCAACCUCUGUCAUCGUGGUAUCAUGUGUCAUGCCCUCUUCUGAAUAGUCAGCCGGUGCCGAUCCUCCCCCACCUGAUUGGCCUGCACGCCCCACACCUCUGUCGCGGCCACCGCGGCCACCCCGUCCAGCAAAACGAUUCUGACCAGGCCCCGGAGCAGCCCCUCUGAACCACUCUGCACGCAGCUCCUUAACAACUAGCGCUGAUUUAGGGUGUAUGCCGUCGCCGUGUUCCUUGAACUGGUGCCCUAGGUGGCCAAAAACGGCGCACCAAUCCGGGAGCCUCUCGUACUUGACCUUGAAAAUUUGCCGCUCCUCCUUGUGAACCAGACUGACAGCAUUCUUUAGGGGUUUGAACACAUUGAUUUUGAUCCUCACCCUAUAAAAGUUCCCUUCAAAGUCAUGUGACUUAGGCUCAGCAUAAACAACCUCUCCCACCUUCCUGGCAAGGGCUUUUAAGAGAGGAUAGAAACCAUCAGGCAAAUCGUGCACUUGCAUCCACAGCUCCAAUGUAUCCAGCUUCAUUAGCGAGGGUUUUGUAAAUCCAUCGUAUUCAGCCAUUAUCACCGCGUUGCCCUUGUAGUUCAGGGCCCUUCCUGCAUAGCACGCUCCCAGUCACCCAGGCACGUAAAUUGCAAUGUAUAUAGGUUCUCCUCAAGAGGGCGAAUCUGCACUGGCUGCGCAAGAUCCCAUGCCGCUCUCAUCAUCUUGUAGAAACCAUAUUGACUGUACUUCUUCUCCGUGUGGACACGCGCUAUGGCCAUCCAUCUAGUCGUCUCUGGCGGCAAUGGAUCUUCCUUCUCCACCACCACAUCAUCCAUGUCCUCCUCCUGGAGGCCCAGCUCGCUCAUCAACACUUCCAGGUCCCGUGUCUUGGAGUUCGACGCCGACGCCGCCAUGUUGUUCCCUGACCCGAGAAGAUUUUUCGAUCGGGUGUUCGGCCAAAGCCCUAGCCUAACCCCGAACCAAAGAGACGGACGCCAAGACCGGGCAGCGCUGCCAGAGCGCCCCUUGAUCGGUCCGAGCGCAGCCCUUCGGCGGAGACGGAGGAAGGGUAGCGGGAACCCUACGGUGACGAUCGAGUCGCCGCGAGGGGAGAAGAAACCCUAGCGAGAUGGUAUCCACGUAGGAUCCUUGCUGCUUGAUGGAUGGAUAGCGCGGGUGCAAUUGUUCAUAAAAGUUUCGCGCUGUAACACGGAAGCAAUUUUUUUGGAUUUUUUUCGCGCUAUAUAUAGGCUACGUGUUUCUGGGCCGGCCCACGAGGUACGCCAGUUCCAUAAACCGGCGCAUAAAAUGUCAAAAGAAAAGACAAAGGCAGAGGUAUUGCUCGUUUUCUGAUUCUCCCCAAACCCGAACGCACGCGCAGCCGCCGCUGGCGCUGCUCGCCUGUCCCCGCCUCCCCCCAUCCCGCGGUCCGCCGGCGCUGCUCCUACGGCCCCAUCUCCAAGGCUGUCGCCGUCUGGCGGCUAGCCCAGUCCCCGGUCGCCGUGUUGCAGGCUUUGGUCCAUCUCGGUUCAGGUGAAAUUUCAGGCAGCCUGCAGCCGGCAACGGUUUUACAUACUCCAGUGCUUGCUAGUAAUAUUUCGUAUCAUGUGUGUGCGCCCAGUGCCCAAGUGUGUCAUGCUUUGGUGCUCGAAUUGAACAGCAGACGUAGAGAUUCUGUUAUGCGUGAUUGUGCAGGACACUUUUGUUGUCAAUUGUUGAGAAAUUGUCAAAUAGAAGAUGAAACAGACCAUUGAUUUGGUACUAGCAAGCAUCUCUGUAUUGCAUUACUAGCAAGCAUCUUUCUAUUGUAUUACUGGCAAGCAUUCUCCAGCUGACAAUACAAAAUCGUCUUGCACAGUACUAUUACUAACCGUGCCUUCUCUGUUGCUGUAGGGACAGUUAAGCCAUUGGCCGUCCAAGCUUGGCGUGCAGUCGGAAUCUCCUUAAGUUGAUGUUCGUGUGCAAGCAUGCUGGAGGAGACGCUGCAGGGUUAGUAAUGCAGCCACAAUCUGCUUAUGAUACGCAUAAAGCUCUGAGUCCAGUGGAUCAGUAAAUCUUCCUUCAUGAUAAGCAUAACUAACUCAAGACCUCGGUUUCCCUUCACCAGGUGUGAGUUUAGCUGUUCAUGCUUCUAGGCCUCUCCAAACGGAGGCGUGGCACGACUUCCUGCGCUCGCCGUUGGGUUUGCCCAUGGACAACUUCGGCCAUGCACAAGCACAGACAUCUACUCUGGUACCAUUUCAGCAGCCAUUUACCAUCAUUGUCAUCGAUUCGUCUGUGUGUGGCGAAUUUUGGCAGUCACUUACCAUCUGAGAGAUCAACAAAGCAAGAGGGGCGCGGCAUACAUGAUGCAUUGAGAGUUUUGCACCUGGUGCCAGGGAAGGCAUAUAAUGGCAAAGAGGAAGGUUUGUCUCAUCACCGCAUUAUCAAUGAUUGUAUGCAUGACAUCUUGGGAGUUCAGUUAGGAAAUCAUGGUAUGCAUAAUGGAGAAGUGCGGUUCGCUAGCUCAAGCAAUAACACAGAGCAAAUUUUACCUGAUACCAUUGAUUCUCAUGAUAUCUCUGCUUCUCCUUCCAUGAAUAAACUCGCAAAGGGAAACAAGUUUGUGCUACUUGUGGAGUUGCAUAGGAAAGGAAUAAGUGCCGAUAUAUCUAUUUUAGCAUCUGCCAUGAGCUUUUGUGCUGUUAAGCAAUCCAUUAGGACAGGUGCUCAGCUCCAUGCUCUACUGGUGAAAGUUGGUUAUGAAUUGUCGGUACUUUCUGGUACUUCUCUGAUUAGCUUAUAUGCAAGAUGUUCUCAGCUGGAGAAUGCUUGUCAGGUUUUUCAGAGCAUGCCAAUAAAAAAUACUGUGUCGUGGACAGCACUCAUUUCUGGUUAUGCACAGGAUAAUCAGGUUGAGCCAUGCCUCAAGGUAUUUCAGCUGAUGAGGCAGUCAGCGUGCAGACCUAAUGACAUCACAUUUGCCACUAUCUUCAGUGUGUGCACUAAUCACGCACUUCUUGCACUUGGUAAGAGUGUUCACGGUCUAGAACUAAGAAUGGGUUUUGAUUUGUGUGUGCAUGUCUCGAAUGCACUGAUAUCAAUGUAUGCAAAGUGUGGGAAUAUAAUUGAGGCCCAAUCAAUAUUUGAGAGCAUUGUGUGCAAGGACCUGGUUUCUUGGAACUCUAUGAUCUUUGGAUAUGCACAGCAUGGCCUUGCUGAGCAUUGUCUAAGCUUACUAAAAGAAAUGGAGGAGGAGCACAUAGUGCCUGAUGUAAUCUCCUUCCUUGGCAUCCUGUCAUCAUGUCGGCAUGCAUGCCUUGUAGAGGAAGGCCGGCGCUGCUUCAAGGCAAUGAUCGGACUUGGAAUAGAACCAGAGUUAGAUCACUAUUCGUGUAUGGUAGACCUCCUCGGCCGGGCAGGAUUGCUCGAUGAAGCGUGGGAUUUGAUCCGUACAAUGUCCACGCCCCCAAAUGCAGUCAUAUGGGGUUCUCUGCUGGCUGCCUGUAGGAUGCAUGGAAACAUUCCGAUUGGCAUCCAUGCUGCAGAGCACCGUCUUAAGCUGGAGCCAGGUUGUGCUGCAACUCAUGUACAGCUAGCAAAUCUAUACGCUAGCAUUGAUUGCUGGAGUGAUGUGGCCAGAGUGAGGAUGAUGAUGAAGGAGGGAGGACUGAAGACGAACACUGGAUGCAGCUGGAUAGAAAUUGGCAGUGAAGUUUAUACUUUCACAGCAGAAAACAGAUCUAAAAGCCACCAAAUAAACAAUGUCCUGGCUGUUCUUGACUUCUUGCGAUCUCAUAUGGAAUACAAAUAUGAUGUGCUGAUAGAUGGUUUUGAGUUUGAUGACCCUCAGUAGUUCAAGGUAAGUUUGAGCUCUGAAUAAAGUAUUGGGAGAUGAUAGAUCGCCGCAGUCAUUUGUAUGAAGAUCAAAGAGUCAAUUCUAUAGAAAAAGCAUGACUCACACCUCAGAGACUUGCGAUAUGAUUCGUCCGAUUCGUACCUCAAAGUAUUCAAUAUUGUACUGCAUUAGAAACAGUAGAGUUUUCCCACCUGACAUCUGAUUUGAAUUUUGAUGCUCAAUGUAUUCUUAUACGCACUUGAUGUUUUAAACCAGGAUACACUAGUAAUUAGACUAGGCUACACUAGUAAUUAGUGCGAACCAUUUGGGAACUUUAUAUGUAAAUUUGAACCAAAUAUAAGAAAAGGUUGGCUUGAUUGACUAGAUAAGGUUUGAUGGAUAUUUUUUCUCUGCUAUUUUGGAUUGGUCUGAAUAAUGUAAAUUACAUCAUAAUUUCAGUUUGACACUUGGAAAUUACUUCUUGAUUGCAACUUAUGGUCAAAUUAAUCCCCUAACCGUCCUUCUAAUAAUUACUUCCUCCUUCCCAAAAUAUAAAGCAUGGUUGAUUUUUCACGGUCUUUGAUGCAUGGCUUUGACCAUCAUAAAGCAUGGUGUACCCAAAAUAUAAAGCAUUGCAGUAUAUAUCAAAGUGCAUUUAUUGAACAUGUAUAAAUAGUAUUGUCAUAUUUGUCUUGUAAAAUAAUUUUAGUUCAUCUGUCUUUAUAUUAAUUUGGUAGACAUGCAAUAAGUAAAAGUCCUAGUCAAAGUUGUGUGAUGAAGACCAAAAAAAGUCAAGCGCGCCUUAUAUUUUGUGAAGGGAGGAAUAUCUCUUAGUUGCAUUCUUGUGGGUAUGUUUAUGGUUUUUCCUUUUAGUGGUUUUUAGAAGAAAUAGAUUUAAUAAUGGGUAAUCCUCUAUUUUACUUAGUUCUGUCCUACUAUGUUAGUAUAUUUCACUACAAUCUCCUCUAACCUGUAAGGCUUCAUUCGGUUAGAACCCACCCUGCUGGGAUCGGGGCCAAACCCCAUGGUUUCAUCCCACCCGGGGUUUCAUCCCGGUCAAUCUUAUAGGUGUGUUCGGUUAAGCCCGGCGUGGAUUGUAAUCCUGUCUCAUAUAAACUGUUAUAUAUUCAAGUAUUGCUUCUGAAUUUCAUACACCUCCAAAACCCUCGGUUUUCACCGGGAUUGUACCCCUGACUUACAAUUUUAUUCUAGUAUUGCUUCUGAAUUUCAUGCACAGAGCACAUUGGUAAAUUGUCUAACAGUUCCAUUUUGUGUAAAGCAGUACUUUCUGACCAGUGCUGCAUCAGCAUAUGAACUGCUAUAUAUUUCACACCAUUAUUGGGAUGGGAUCAGUGGGGAUUGAGUGAGGGGUUGGGGAUCACCUAGAGGAUUAAAUCCACUGCAACCGAACAAGGCCUAAGCCGGGUCAAAAGCCAGGCUUUUCCUUGCUAACUGAAGUAAAUUGACAGCAAAGUACAUAAUCACAAAACUAUAAAGACACUUAUUGUGAAUCCCAAACUUAUAAACCAUUGGACAUGCUGUCGACCAUAUUUAUAAACUUAACAUCCAGAAUACGUUGGCACCUUGCACAUGAGCAGAGGGUCUAGGUCUUGACCAUCAAAAGUACAAAUUAUUGUUGGCAAGCAACUCCAUGAUAGCAAUCAAAGAUUGUUCUUGGAGAUAACAUCCAUUAAAUCUAGUAGCUAAGACCAAAAGCAUACUUCAGCGCUCAGGCAUGAACAAUACGACCGGUUCCGUCUAGCAUUUGGUAAAGUUUCAGUCGCUUCCAACCACCGAUGAUGGGGAAACCGCGCGAUUCAGCAGAAGAACAUGGACGAUGCUAUCGUGGGAUGCAGACGAGGCAGCUCCGGCACCGGGGCAGCCUCAGCCUGGGACGACGUCUCCGACAUGUCAUUGAGCCUGGUGAACUUGGCCACCUGCGCCCCGCAAGGUGUGCGUAGAAGAUGGGAGCAACUGAGAGGGAAAAUCAGAUGAUCAACCAUGCCCUUUUGGCGUAUGUUGCGAAAUCAAGUAAUGGCAAAUCAUGCUUACCAGCUGUGAUGGCUGUGGUGCUCCUGAAACGAGUUCACAAGCAUAAAAAUGUCAGAGGAAUGCACCGAUGAUCGUCAGAGGCAAAGUAAGGGCUGAAUCUUUUGCAACUACUUCAGUGCACAUACGCAUAGGAAAGGGAGUGGACAAGCUCCUGCAGCUCAUCAGCGGAGAAGCCUGUCUCAUCUUGGAGCACAUGGUAGUGUGUUGGCCUUGUAGUCCCCUGGAAUAUACAACCAGAAUGACUUGGAUUGUAUUCCCUCCGUCCCAUAAUAUAAGAGCGUUUUUUACACUACACUAGGGAUAUGAUAAGAUUGUAUGUGUAGAAAAGCCUAGGAAUUGCUCGUUUAAUCCUAUACAAAAUUGUAAAUAAUGGUUCUGUGGUAGGUGUUUAGAUUCCUAUGAGAUGCAUUUGGUUUCGUAUGAAUGCUACAGUACCCCCAUUAAAAAGUACUCCCUCUGUUCCAUAUUACUUGUCGUGGUUUUAGUUCAAAUUUGAACUAAAACCACGACAAGUAAUAUGAAACGGAGGGAGUACAUACAAAUCAAACAACCUAACAAUAGCCAAGGAUUGCAAUCCUCCACAAAAAUUGGAAGAUUAGAAAAAAUAUUUAGAUAAAAGAUGUAGGUUACCAGGGGGGGCAUUAGUCACUUGAUCAGGUCUCUGUCCAUUCCGUAGGAAAAAUCUCGUGUGAUGAUUCUUCUGUGCAACCAUCACUGUGAACUUGGGGAACCAGUUGCCACUAAAGUGCUUGCCACCAAAAAACUUGCAUGUCUGUAUCAAUUAGGUAGGCAUUACUAUCCAGGACUGGCUCAUGAGGAAUUGGAUAUCACUUAUGUUUACCUCCAUGAUUUGAGCUAGCUCAUCGUUCAGCACCUGAUUGAAUUGGCUCUCGCUAACACCAUCCCUAACAUAAGACAACAGAGUUUCCUUAGACAGAAUCAGGGUGCCAAAGUAAACUUAGAGAUGGCAUCGAGUAUUUAGAGUCAGUUUGUACUCUUAACAUCAAGGGACAACACACAAUUAAUUCAGCAAUUUCUACAGAAAAAUUAUGCUAUUUAAAUGCAGAAACCACUGUCAGUUAGCGUUUGCGCACACUUAUCUCACGGAGGACUACUGACCUGAAAAUGAUAAUUUGUUCCGGCUUCUGACCAUUGUUGUUUUUGAGGAAGUCAACUACUGAAUCCCUGAAAUGUUAUUGUCCCAGUGAGCAACAAAUUAAAAGCAUACGUAUAAUUAGGAAGCACUGUUAUUAAAAUUGUAUAAAUUGCACUUAUAUAAAAUCUGAGCAGAAGAAACUCACUUAAUGAGGACAUGAUCGUCAUCUCCAACUGGCGUAAACAAGGUAUCGAUCAUUUCCAGCCUGGAUGACUGAGUGCACACAGAAGCUCUGUAGUUUGAAAUGAUUGGCCACUUCAAUGAACUAACCACCUAGGCCAAAGCAACAAACACCCAGGUGGGUUAGCAAAUUGUCGGUUGAAACUCUCUUCAGGACCAUCAGCUGACACCUGAGUUUUUACUGCAUGAAACUGAAUACAUAAUAAGCAAAACUUGCUGCAGCAGCCGAUGGCACGUCAGACCGUCCUGGUGAACCAUGGGAAACAUCCAUACCAAAGAUGAUGAUUCGAACCCUCGAUACAUGAGGAAUAGCACAGGUUGUUUCAUUUUUCAGCAAUGAAUUCAACCCGCCAAGCUGAUUGGCAGCACAAAACAAAAGCAAAGCAUCCAGUUGUUCAGCUAAAAGAAAUCCAAAUUAUGUGGUACAUUGAAGAUGGCAAUGCAGAUCACACUGCAAACCUUGGCAUUUAUCUUUAGCAGCACAUUUUGUGAGGUACUGAUCUUUGACGUUGGCAGGAGGAACCAAGCAUCGCGUCAAAAUACCAUACCGCGCAAGGCAUCCGCGCUUCCAUGGUCUGACAAGAAGAAAAAAGGCUUGGAUGCCAGGUAGGCAUAAUGAAGCUUAUUUGCAAGGCUGGGUUAAAAGAGCAAACCAUAUAUGUCACAGUUCUUCCUCUUCUCGGGAAAAACGUACAGGAGAAACUCUGGUUUGUUUGGGAAGCGUCACGUUGCACUUAAUUCUUUCUUGUUUGUAGGCAAGUGAAAGAUGUGAUUUUAUGUUUACUUUGGACUAUCUACUUUUAUGCAGCCCCAACAUCUUUNNNNNNNNNNNNNNNNNNNNNNNNNNNNNNNNNNNNNNNNNNNNNNNNNNNNNNNNNNNNNNNNNNNNNNNNNNNNNNNNNNNNNNNNNNNNNNNNNNNNNNNNNNNNNNNNNNNNNNNNNNNNNNNNNNNNNNNNNNNNNNNNNNNNNNNNNNNNNNNNNNNNNNNNNNNNNNNNNNNNNNNNNNNNNNNNNNNNNNNNNNNNNNNNNNNNNNNNNNNNNNNNNNNNNNNNNNNNNNNNNNNNNNNNNNNNNNNNNNNNNNNNNNNNNNNNNNNNNNNNNNNNNNNNNNNNNNNNNNNNNNNNNNNNNNNNNNNNNNNNNNNNNNNNNNNNNNNNNNNNNNNNNNNNNNNNNNNNNNNNNNNNNNNNNNNNNNNNNNNNNNNNNNNNNNNNNNNNNNNNNNNNNNNNNNNNNNCAACCAUUGUACAUGCCCUAAGUAAACAAACAAACAAACAAACACACAUCCAAGUGAGAUGCAAGAAAAGGCUUGGCCAAUGGACAACCAACCGAAUAAGACAUGUACAAGCUCUGAACAUGCCACCUAGAACAAUCCCAUAGCAGCCUCCCAAGUAGGGAUGGAUUUUUGAAGUACUUUAGUCAGAAAACAGAAGGCAAAAAAAAGGAAUAUAUCUAGCUCAUCCUACCCUCUAGAUUCAGCACAAGUGAUGGUAUCCAUGCGAGACCACAAAACAAACAGAAAGAAAGUCAAACUCAGCAAGCAGAGAGAUGGAAAGCAGCAAAUUAGAUGGUUCGAUAGUAAAGGUUCUGAGGCACCAAGUGCGGCAACCAGCUUAGGAACACAACAUCCCAGGAGUCCAACAGGCCAUCACAGGCCACUACUACAUACUACUAGUACUAGAUAACCAAGCGCAUCGCCAAAAGUUGGAACGCGCAAGUGCGGCUGGCUGGCUGGCUCAGCAGAAGAACAUGCUGCUGCGGACUUUCUCAUGGAGGCGAGGCAGCUCCUGCACUGGAGCGCUGCCGGCAGAGGUGUGGCCACCUCCCUGGCUCGACGACGUCUCGGACAUCUCAUCAAACUUUAUGAACUGCGCCACCUGAGCAGCCGCAAGAUGUGCAUAGCAGAUUGGAG
This 75463-nucleotide long non-coding RNA is filed under the name Triticum aestivum (bread wheat). RNAcentral's name for it is "long non-coding RNA (TAES_LNC000099)". Lineage: Eukaryota; Viridiplantae; Streptophyta; Magnoliopsida; Poales; Poaceae. The record is from RNAcentral.